AUGUUUCAAAACUUGCCCUCAAGUUUUGGAAUUUAAAAGUUGAUUAAAAGUUUAAUUAGGAAUGUUAAAUUCUAAAACCCUAGUAUUGUUUUGAAAAAGUUCAAAUCACACCCUUAUGGUUUUAUUAAUUAAUUAAGGUGUAUAAUUAAAAGAGGUUUAAUAAAUCCAUAAAAGUUUAGGUUUACAAUUUAAUUGAAUUAAAAGUAUAAUUGUUAAAUUUGACCACCUAGUAUUUUAAAAGUGUAAAAUACACCCUAUACUAUAUAUAUAACAUUAAAAGUCUAACAUUAUAUAUAUGUAUGAGUAAAAGUCAGUCUUACCGUUAGUAGGCCUCAUUCACGAAGCUGGUCUAUAAGGGGUGUUUAAGGAAAUUGCCUAUAAAAUGGCGAUUGAAUGGGUAUCCACUCUUACCCACCGCACUCUUGACUAGUGGAGGGUCGUUAGCCGAACGGGUAGGAUAGGACGAAACCUUCCAUUAUAAGUAUAAUGAAUUAUUAAAGUAACUAAAUGUUUUCAAAAAAUUCCCAAUCUUAGUUACUUAGGCAAAAGUGAAUUGAUGCAAUUCCAUGAAAUUACACUUUGUGCCCUUGCGAAGACGUUAGUGGAGCGUGUGUGGUUUACCGGCACACUAAAUGGUUCUAAGCAAAGGUAGCAAAGGGUGACUCAAUGUUUGUCAUAGUUCGGUGGAGCGUGUGUGGUUUACCGGCACAUCGAAUAGGUGACUGUAACAUGUGAGGGCACCAUGUAAGUUUGCAUGGUUAUUCACACCCGCUUUGUGAUCCUCGGCAUCCCAGUCACAAACAAGAGGGGCAUAUCGAGAUUUAAACAUGCCAUUGAAAGUUCAAUGAAUCUCAAAGGAUCUAGGAGUUUUCAUAGAUUUAAAACUUAAAUUUCUUUUUCGUUUUUCAUGGUGGAAAUUAGUGAAUCGUCAUUCACUUACCUUCAAAUAUUCUGCAAUUAGGGUUACGGCAUCCCUCUCCCGAGUUGUAGAAUAUUGUGUUGGGUCCUAGCCUUAGUAUCUCAUUUGGGUGAUUUACUAAGGACUCAAUCAAUCAACUAACUUGAAUUCGUUUUCUCCCGUUUUGUAGAUGUCAAAGUUCGACAACUAUGGUCUUCCCAAAUCCCGUGGAACAAGCAUUCCACAUGAAGAUGAUAUUCCACGAUUCGAUCGAGGAACAAGAAAUCAUGCUUCACUUCCUCCUCCUCCUCCAAUUAUUCUCCCUAACCCACAAGUUCAAAGGCUUGAAAAGUUCAAGAUCACUCAAGCCCUUUUGGCAAGUAAACAUAAAGAAGGAAAGUCGGUGUGUGCACACGUCCUAGGGAUGAAGUCACACAUUGAUAGGUUAAGAAUGUUGGGAUCCGUUGUCUGUGAGGAAAUGGCUGUUGAUUGGGUUCUUCAGUCACUUCCUAACUCAUAUAGUGAGUUCGUAAGAGAGUACUAUAUGAUGAACCGCGACGUGACCCUUAUAGAUCUCACCUAUAUGCUUAUUGCUGCUGAAUCAGCAAUGGUUUGGCGCAAUAGAAAAGCAAAGUUGAUUGGUGAAUCUGCCUUCAAGACCUCUAUGGAUAUAGACAAUGGCAACGAAAGACAUGCUAUGAUCGAAAAGUUUGAUCAUAAGAGAAAGGCAAUGUCUGAAGUAGUUCCAUGUCAUGUUCCAAAAGAGUCAAUUUGCUUUUAUUGCCAAGAGAAAGGGCAUUGGAGACGAAGCUGCCCCAUUUACCUAAGAGAUCUAAGAGAUGGGAGAGUCGAAACGUAUGGCUCUAAUAUAGGUAAAAUCCAUUAACUAACUCUUUUAAGCUUCUAUUCUAGAUUCUUAAUACAUAAUGUGAUAAGAUUACAAUUGAUGUUUUGUAGGAUCGAAGAAAAGAAAGGAAGCUUAAGGGAAGAAGUGAGCAGAAUCUAACCGUGAAGGAAUGGAUUUCGAUCGCAUUUCUCGAAGAUUAGAUUCUUGAGCUACUACUUAGAGUUAGAAUUAGAUUGCUAAGAAAGAUGUAUUAGCAUAGUUUUUCAAUGAAUUGCAUUGUAAGGACAAAUUUUUUCCGCAAUAAAAUAAAUUUUGAUUUUAUAUUAUUUAUUUAUCCUUGCAAUGGCGUAUAUGAAAAAUUGAUGUUUGAAUGUUUCUAUUAUUAGCAAUAAUGGAUUUGGUUCUUAUUAUGUUAUUUAUGGAAAGUCGAGAAUUUACCAAAUAGGGAGAGUUUCUCAUCGCCCAAGUUUCAAUUGGACAGAAACUUGGAAUCAUGCAACUUGGUUGCACGAUGAAUGAGAAAUUUCAUAUUUGGAAAUUAGACUAAUUCAUUGACAAAGUGUCAAGUGAAGGACUAGGAGAUCGAGUACACAAAGUUGCGUGUUGAUCAAGUCCACCAUAAGAGUAACAAAGAUAUUCGUCAUGAUUUACUAAAGGUUUAGUAAAUAUGAUUAUACUUACAAGAUUAAGUGUAAUUCUGAAUUGAUUGAAAAAGUUUAAAUCAAUAGCAGAACGAAUAAGAAGAAUCAAGUAGGCAGAAAGAUAAAAGUUUCUCCAUUCUAAGAAGAAGGGAGAGUACCUUUUAUGCUUUAUGAUAGGUCUUAAUGAUUAAGAACCAUAUCUCAAUUGAUCCUCUAAGUGAGUCUUAGUACAAUUGUAUGUCUAAGAAGAGGAAUCAAGAAUUGAAGAAAUGGUUAAAUCAAGAAGUCAAUCAUACUUCGUUCCAAAACAAGUCUUAGAGUUAAGAUUGUGACAUUGAGUGAUAAGUAUUAAGAAGGUUUAUAACAUUCAUCAAAUGUGGAAAGUUGUGAUGUCUUGGAUAAGACAAAGACCAACUAGGACCAAUUUAUGAAGUGUUUUGAUAAAAGCUACACUAACUCUUGAAUAUUUGUUUGUCAAGAAAUGUUUAUUGACAAGAGAAUCUUAUAUGUCAAGGAGUCAGUGGGAGUCUUAAUGGUCUUGAAAGGUUUCAAGAACAAAUCAAAUAAACCUUAUCGAUCAUCACUAGCACACGAGUUGAGGUUUACAACCUAUCGUGUUGACAUUAUUUUGUUUCUGUGCCAAUCCAAUCGAGUUAAUUAUGCAUGUGAGUUCUAUGAGUUCUCAUUUUGAACGCAUAAAAGGCAAAGCACCUUAAUCAAUGAAAGGUACAUUGAUAGGAAAGGGUGAGCUGCUUAACUACUUGGAAGACAUGGUGGGCAGCUGUGCUACCAUAAGGCAAGAAAUCAAGAUUAAGAAAGUUCGGUCCAUAUGAGUUUGAAUUUGUCGUAAACUUUGGUUUUAACAAAUUCACAUGGAUAGGAACACAUACACCGUUUAAAUCUAAGUGUCAUAAGAUUUCCUCCUUCAUGAAAAUGAUUGUGAGGAAAUGCUUUCACUAAGAAAGAUUUUAAGAAGAUAGUGAUUGUAAAAUUGCAUUCUCGAAUUCGAUCAUGGUUACGGUAUCCCUUUCCAUGAUUUGAAUUGUGAGGUUUGGCAAUUAGUCUUAAUUGUUUAGACACACAUAUGAACUAUCUAAGGAAAAGGUGUAUAAGUUCAAAAAGGCUUGAUAAAUGGUUAUCAAAGCAUUAAAUAUUAGAAACAUGGACUUAUGAAAUUCAAUAGUUAUUGUUUUUCUGAAAGUUAAGAUGUUUAUGAAUACAUGUCGAAGCUAGUGGGAGCAUAAGUUAUGUUUCUNGUUAUGUUUAUAAUAAUCAUCAUGAUAGUGGGAGCAUAAAUGUUAUGAUUGUAUGAUUAUUAAGGCACGUAUUGCAAGUUGGCAAUAUUAAUUAUAGAAAACAAGAGUUAUACCUUGCAAAGUCGUAAGGGUUGUAAAGUUGUUUUGCUAUAAUUAAGGGAGAGAAUAUUAUGCUUCAUUUCAAAUCUAAAGGCUUAGGUUGUGGAAUGUUAAUAAAUUUAGUCAAAGGUACAUAGUGUGUUCUUAAAAUUUCGAUUAUGAUUACAGCAUUCCUCUUCACAAUUCGAAUUUUGAGAACAUAGCAAAUAAAAUAUUAUGGCAGAAGAUUGAUAAAGUAUCAAAUCUUUAUGUAAGACAUUAUGCAUCGUGUCCCAUACGCUUCGGGUAUAGGAUCGAUUGCAAAUGCUAUAAUAUUUGACCAUUCUAAAAUUUUCCAAAUGUCUAGCGCAUUUAGAGGGAAAAAGGACAAGAAUUGGUUUUGACUAAGAUAAUUAAACAACUAUCAAAGGACAAUCCAAGCUUUGUCGAGGAUUGGUCGCUUGUGAGUAGAUGGAAGUAUAGUAUUGGAAAAUAUGGAAAUGUUUCCAUAUUGGAUGAACCAUAUCGACACUAUUAUGAAUAGAUAAGAUUCUAAUAAGAAUAAGUUGUCAUAUGAAAAAUAUGGAAAUGUGUCCACAUUGGGAAUUGAAUUUUGAAAAUCUAUGUCUAGAUUAGAAACUUUUAUGCAAAAAGAUGUUCAAAGGAAUGUACUUUGAGUGAGAGAGAUCAUAUCUAAGGAAUUGUAUUGUAACAAUCUCCAAUAGAGGACUUUUUGAUAUCAUUGGCAAUAGUCUUUAUGACUUUGGUGCAGUGACAUUAUGAAAGGAUCAUUGCAUAAAAUGUUAGAAUCUAAUAUAUUCUAUACGUGGCAAGAAUUUGAUAUUCUUUUACUUAUAGAAAGGGAUUAGCAGUUGUGAAAUGAGAAUGAUUGGAAGUGUGUUCAAUUUGAUCUAUUUCACAAAGUAAGAACCAUAGGUAAACAUUGUGUGCAUGCUAAGAGCAUGGGACAAGUGUAAUAAUUCAAGUAAGAAGUUGAUUACCCGAAACGACAAAUAAUGAGUAAUCGAUAUGGUGAUAAAUAAAAGGUGUUUUAUUUAUACUCAAAGGUUUGAGGCCAUAUGGGAUUAGUAUUAUUCUUGUGUUUCACUUUGCAUGUUUUGACUUCCUGAAUAAUUUAAUUGGUUAAGAACAGUCAAAUUAUUCGAACGGGCCACAGUCGUUCAUAUGUUGGAAGUAGGUAUGAAUGAAGACUGUCGUGAAUUGGUGUGUGGAUUGUCUAAAGAGUAUUAGACAUAAGCAAAUGUUUGCUGCAACGUUCAUGAGUGCUUAUGAAUAUGAUUUGAGCAUUGGAUUAAACCCACGCUCACUUGGAUCACUCCAUGAAUUGUAUCACGAGUGAUUGGUGAGACGAUAACAUCUUAUAUUCUUGAAACCGAGAUGUGUGAGUUGUAUCUUGCAAAUCGGUUGCACAUUGAUAAUAUGUAAACGCACUAGUAACUUGGUGUUAUAAAACAUAUUGUUGUGUGUGAUUCGGUGAGUAAGUGCAAGCAAGCAUUGUAUCAAAGUUUAUCCGUUCCUUUUAUCCAAAGUAGGAUAAAAGCGAUAUCUUUGGGCCCCUCGAUGAUUUAGUGAUGACAAACGUAAAUGCUCGGCCGGGCUAGGGCUAAUUUGAUUUGUUCAAUUAGUCAGUCGUCAUAAAUCGGGAAUCGAGAUAUAGUACAAAGAGAAUGAUUUGAAAUCAUAUCUCAUAUGAUAUCUAGAAUGGAGGAAUAUAUGAUCCCUUAUCUAAGGACACGCGUAUCUGAUAGGAUCAGAGUUGACAGCGGCUUUGGAAAGCUACGAUUGCAGAUCAGGAUCUGAAGUCAUACGCAUAAUAGUUAUUAGACUUAUCCAAGUGGGAGACUGUUGGAUUAGUGUCUAAGUCCAUAACUAUUUUGGUAUGUACUUGACCCGAUGGUGCAUGGUCCUUUUGGGUUGCCUUCACCAAAGCAACUUGAUAGGAUGAAUUAUGGAGAGAAAGGAUUAAAUAUGAUUUAUUAAUAUAUUAUGAGAAUAAUAUAUUAAAGGAGAAAUCAUAUUGUUUAAUUAAUAUUAGUCAAUAAUUAAUUGGUAAUUAGUUUUGUGACUAAAAGAGAUUAAUUAAACUUAAGGGAUUGGAAUUGUAAUUAUAAGAUAAUUGCAAUUUGGGCCAUGGAUUGCCUUAUAUUAAGGAGUGGACGAAUUCUAUGGGGAAACCCAUAAGGAAAUCAUCCAAGGCCUUAAGGAAAGGGAUCCAUGGGUUUGUUAGGGCUUUAGCAUCCAAAUUAGGGUUUCCUUGUUAGAUAACCCUAAUAGCCUAACUAUAUAUACAUCCCUUAUGACCCAAAAACGUGGCUAAGACUUCUUCUAGGGUUUCACACGUUUUAGGGCAGCCUCCUUCACCUCUCCUCCACAUCCCCUUGCUCAUGGUGUUUGUGAACCAUUAGAGGAGUGACAUUUGUGACUCUAAGCUUUCUAAAGUCAAUACAAGGAGGAAUUGGGAUUCUUAUUGCUACAUAACAAUCAAGGUAUGAUCUAAACCCUUAUUUAUAUGUUAUAUUGAUUAUUAUAUCCUAGAUCUAGGGUUUAUAGUCUGGUAUAACUUGCAUGCACAAUAGAGAAACCUAGAUCCAAGCAUUAGGGUUUGUAAGAGCACAUAGGAUGUUCUUAUGACCAAAACCCAUCAGCUACAAGGGACAAUAAGCAUGAAAACAGAGGGAAAUUGGGUUAUACCUCAAGGAAAUCACUAAGAUAACCAAAAUAUGCCUUGCCUCCUUCUUCUCUUCUUGAUCUACUCUCCUUCCCUCUCCAAAUCUUCAAGAAAACACACCAAAAUGCUUCAAUCUCACAAGGAACAAGGCUUGAACGAAGUAUAAGGCUCAGAGGGUGAAGGGGGCGAGCUUAGGGGCGGAUAAGAGGGUUUAAAUAGGGUGCAAACCCUUGAAAUUUAGGGUUUCAUCAGACAGCGGGGACUCACCGAGUCCAGAAUAUGGACUCGCCGAGUCGCCAACUUAAACGUGUUCCGGAUCCCGUGUCUACUCGGCGAGUCAGACCAACAACUCGCCGAGUCCAAGGCUAAAAGUGAAAAACACUAAGAUAAAUUUUACGUACCAAGAACCAAGUGCUACAGUUUUCAUAUAACAACUGAAGGUGAUACGUUUAUCAGUGAUAGUACAUUGAUAAAUUUGGAUGAACCUAAUAACUACAAGGAAGCCAUAGCAGGCCCCGAGUCCGAAAAAUGGAAACAGUCUAUGGACAGCGAUAUUCAGUCCAUGUAUGACAAUCAAGUUUGGAACUUGGUUGACAAUGUACUAGGUCCUACAUUGAGACCUUCUCACCAAUAGCGAAAAUUAAAUUUAUAAGGAUGAUGCUAGCCAUAGCUGCAUUUCAUGAUUAUGAAAUAUGGAAAAUGGACGUCAAAACUGCUUUCCUUAAUAGGAAGUUGGCUGAAGAUGUUUACACGAGUCAGCCGGAGGGUUUUGUCAAUGCAAAGUAUCCUAAUGGACUGUGCAUGCUUGAGAAAUCCAUUUAUGGAAUGAAACAAGCAUGUCACAGAUGGAAUCUUUGUUUUGAUGAGAAAGUCAAAGAGUUUGGAUUUUCGAGAACCGAGGAUGAGUCAUGUGUAUAUGUCAAAUUUAGUGGGAGUAUAGUUAGCUUUCUGGUGUUGUAUGUGGAUGACAUACUUCUCAUAGGAAAUGAAAUUCCAACUUUGCAUGAGGUUAAGUCCUCGCUUGGGAAGUAUUUCGCUACAACGAACCUCAGGGAAGCUGCUUAUAUUUUAGGGAUAAGGAUAUUGAGAAAUAGGAGUAAAAGACUAAUAGGACGUUGUCAAAGUACCUACUUUGACAAAGUGUUGAAGUGUUUCAACUUGGAUAAUUCCAAGGAAGGUGAUUUACCUAUCCAAACAAUACCAAAUUGAUUAAGACUCAGAGUCCAACUACAGAGGCCAAGACAACAGAGAUGAGUCGAGUACCAUAUGCUUCCGCAGUUGGCUCGAUCAUGUAUUAUAUGAUUUGUACUCACCCUGAUGUGGCAUUUGCUUUGAGCAUGUUCAGUAGAUAUCAAGGUAAUCCUGGUAAUGCUUACUGGACUGCGGUAAAGAACAUUUUUAAGUACCUGCGAUGGACUAAGUACUCGGUCCGUACCCUCAAUGGGAGUGAUGACUUAGGAGUGAUAGGGUAUAGUCAUGCCAACCUUCAGGCCGACAUAGAUAAUUUCGGCUCUCAGUCGGCUUGGGUAUUUACCUUGAAUGGAGGAGCAUUAACUUCGAAAAGUUCCAAAUAGGAGACUAGUUGAUUCAACGUGCACAUCAAAGUACAUAGCAACAAGCGAAACGUCGAAGGAGGCGAUAUGGCUGAAGAACUUCAUCAAAGACCUUGGAGUUGUACCAACCAUAAAGGAGCCUAUGGAGAUUUUAUGUGACAAUGAGAGUGCGGUUGUCUUAACCAUGGAACCAAGGGAUGUUGACAUAUCCAGGCAUGUCGACAGAAAAUAUCACUACAUAAGACAUUGGAUAGAAGAAGGACUCCUUGUAGUAAAGAGGGUUAAGCACUUGCAGCAUGCGAGGAACAUUGCGCUAAUGGACGAUAUUAGUUUUUAUGAUUAGUUCAGAAACUUGUAAUAGAUAAAAUGUAAUUGAAAUUUGAUGAUUAAAUUAAAGGAGUAUUAUUUAUGAGAAAAUUUACUAUCUUGUGUCAAUUGUUUACUAUUGUUUCAUUUUGCAUGUUUUGACUUCCAGAAUAAUAAGAUUAUUCAAACUAUCCACAAUCGAUCAUAAUUUGGAAGUAGGUAUUGAGGAAAUACAUUCAUGAAUUUGGCUUGUAGAUUGUCUAAAGUGUUUAGACAUAGCAAAAAUUUGCUACAACAUUCAUGAGUACUCCUGAAAUAAGAUUUGAGUAUUAGACUAAACCCACGCUCACAUGAAUCACUUCAUGGAAUUUAUCACGAGUGAUUGUGAGACGACAAUAUUAUAUAUUCUUCAAACCAAGAUCUGUUAGUUGUUGACCAUGAGUUGGUUGUACGUUGAUAGUGCGAAAAAGCAUCACUAACUUGAUGUUAUAAAACGUGCUAUUGUGUAUGACUUAACGAGUAGUUAGUACAAACAUAUAAGUCGAUGUUUUUCUGUUCCUUUUAUCUUUGGAGGAUUAAAAGCGGUAUCGUGGGCUCCUCGAUGGUUUUGUUUUGACUUAUGUAUUGGGCCCAGUCAAGACUCAGUUGAUGUGUUCAAUUAAGUUCUAUGUCAAAGAAAUUGCAAAUCGGGAAACAAAUUGAUGGACAAUAAGUAUGACUAUGUUCCUUGUAUUUGUCUGCAUGAUAUCUUGAACAACAGAGGAUUAUAGAAUCCCUUAUCUAAAUGGUGUGUCAGAGUUCGACAACGGCUUUUAUGAGCUACGAUUGCUAGUCGGUUUUUAAGUCGUACAUUCAAUUAUAGUAAUUAGACUUAUCCACGUGGGAGACUGUUGGAUUAGGUGUCUAAGCGCACAACUAUAAUUGGUAUGUACUUGACCUGAGAGUAGCAUGGUCCAUUUGGGUUGCAUUCACUAGAAGAAUCUGAUAGGAUGGACAUUUGAGAAAGAGGUUAUUUAUUCUUUAUUAAGAUAUUAUAAGUAUAAUAUAUAAAUUGAGAAAUCAUAUUAUUUAAUUAGUAUUGAUCAAAAAUUAAUGUAGUGAUCAAAAGAGAUUAAUUAGUUUCAUAGGGAUUGAUUAUGUAAAUUAGUGAUACAUAUGGUUUGGGCUAUUGAUCCAUGAUGGGCUAAGUUUAUGUGAGAGUCUAUAAAGAGUUAGUCCACAUGAGUUAUGGAUCAUAAUCCUAAGUGUAAGAAUUAGGGUUAUAUAUGACUCUUGGAAUUCUAACACUAUAUAUGUAACACCUUAGACCCCAAAAUCGGAUGCACAAGCCAUAUAGCAAGAGUAUAGCCGAUUUUACAGUGCUCCUAACCUGUCUCUCAAGUCCUCCAAUUGUUGGUGGUUUUUUAUGAAGCAUUUGAGGCAUCACACUUGAGGUGAUAUGCUCUUAAAGACCAAGUAAUACAAGCUACAUAAAGAGGUAAUUUUCUAACUAGUUUUAUGAUUCAUAUAUCAGGUUGUACGCUAGUUAGGCUUCAUGCUUUCGAAAAAUAAAGUUGCAUUUAUAACCAGAGAAAACGUAGAUUCAAAGCAUUAGAGUUGUAUGUGCACCAUAGGGAUCUUAUUGUGAUCAAAACCCAUCAAAAAGAUGGUUCUUUAAGGAUGUGUAUAGGCUAUCAAGAAUUGAAUAAACUAAUAGUCACAAACCGUUAUCCACUCCCUACAAUAGAUGACCUAUUUGAUCAACUCCAGGGAUCUAGUUACUAUUCAAAGAUAUAUCCAAGAUCCGAAUAUUAUCAGUUAAAAAUACUAGAAGCAGAUGUUCCGAAAUCUGCAUUUAGAACUCGAUACGUUCACUACGAUUUUAUAGUUAUGCCCUUCGGAUUGACCAAUGGACCAGCAGUAUUCAUUGACCUCAUGAACCGUCUAUGAAAACCAUACAUAGAUAAGUUCGUUAUAGUGUUUAUCGACGACAUUCUCGUCCAUUCACGAACUAAAGUGGAACACGGUCAACAUCUGAAAUUGAUCUUGGAACAGCUAAGAAAGGAAAAAUUGUACGCAAAAUUCUCCAAACGUGAAUUUUGGAUUAGAGAAGUACACUUCCUAGGUCAUGUAGUUAAUAACAUAGGAAUACAUAUGAAUCCCACAAAAAUCAAAGUAGCUAAGAAUUGGGAUGCACCAAGGACACUAACUGAAGUGCGACAAUUCUUAGCCCUUGCCAGCUACUCUAUGACAUUCAUAGAGAACUUUUCCAAAGAUAGCCAAGCCACUCACUACAUUAAUACAAAAAGAAAUAAGUUCGACUGGGAGAUAAGCAAGAAAAUACAUUUCAGAAGUUGAAACAGAUGCUGUGUAGUGCACCAAUCCUAUCAUUACCUGAAGGAAUCGAAGAUUUUGUCGUAUACUAUUAAUGCAGAAGGAGAAGGCCAUUGCAUAUGCCUCCCGACAACUCUAGAUCCAUGAAAAAACAACACAACCCAUGACCUAGAAUUAGGAGUAGUAUUCUUUGCCUUGAAGAUUUGUAGACACUAAUAUAUGGAAUGAAAUGUAUUAUUUUUACAGACCAUAAGAGUCGCCAACACAUACUUGAUCAAAAGGAACUAAAUAUGAGGCAAAGAAGAUGGAUUGAGUUAUUGAACGAUUACGAAAGCGAGAUUCCAUAUCAUCCGGGAAAAGUGAAAUUUGUAUAUUAUGAUUUAAGUCAUAAAGUGCAUAAGAAACUGUGACGAGUAAAGGCACUAGCUAUGACCAUACAUUACAACCAUAAUACACAGAUUCGUUAAGCUCAGGUAGAUGAUCUGAAAGAGGAAAGUGUUGGGGAAGAAUCUUUAUGGGGAAUAGAUAAACAUUUCGAGCUUAAUGAUGAUGGAACUCGUUAUUUCAUGCACAAAAUCUAGGCACCAAAGUUUGGUAACAUUAGAAGCUUGGUCAUGGACGAAGCUCACAAAUCAAGGUAUUCUAUACAUCUUGGCUCCGACAAGAUGUAUCUAGAUCUAAAGAAAUUAUAUUGGUGGCCUAAUAUGAAGGCUGAGAUUGCCACUUAUGUGGGCAAAUGCCUGACUUGCUCUAAAGUCAAGGUAAAGCAUCAAAAGCCCUCAGGAUUACUGAAACAACCAGAUAUUCUCGAGUGGAAAUGGGAGCAAAUUGCAAUGGAUUUUAUCUCAAAGCUGCCCAAGACUCCUAGUGGUUAUGACAAUAUUUGGGUAGUGGUUGACAGUUAACUAAGUUUGUCCAUUUCCUACCAAUCAAGGAAACCAACAAAAUGGAAAGAUAACGAGAACAUAUCUCAGGGAAAUUGUCAAGCUUCAUGGAGUGCCAACCUCUAUUAUCUCGGAUAGGGAGAGUAGGUUCACAUAAAGGUUCUGGCAAUCACUUCACAAAUCCCUAGGAACCCACUUAGAUAUGAGCACAUCUUACCACCCACGGACUGAAGGUCAAAGUGAACGAACCGAUCAGACCCUAGAAGAUAUGCUACAAUCUUGUGUAAUUGAAUUUCAAAAUUCUUGGGAUACUCAUUUCCGUUGAAUGAGUUUUCCUAUAAUAAUAGUUAUCACACCAGCCUCAAAGAAACACAAUUUGAAGCUUUAUACGGACACAAAUGUCGAUCACCUAUAUGUUGGGCAGAGGUCGGGGAUACCCAACUGGCCCACGCACACACAAAUGACACACUGUGUACUGGGAAGAUAUAAUCCAUGAAACGACCAAGAAGAUCAAUCAAAUCAAGGAUCGGAUUAAGACAUCAUGUGAUCGUAAAAAAAGUUAUGCUGAUAUAAGGUCUAAGCCUCUAGAAUUCCAAGAUGGAGAUCGAGUGAUGCUAAAAUUCUCGCCCUGGAAGGGUAUGAUUCAUUUUGGCAAAAGAGGAAAGCUUAAACCAAGAUACGUUGUACCUUUCGAAAUUCUUGACAAAAUUGGUCUUGUUGCUAAUCGGCUAAAACUACCUCAAAACUGAGCAAAGUACACGACGUAUUCCAUAUAUCCAACCUGAAAGAGUGUCUUUCUGAAGACACCAACAUAAUACCUCUUGACGAGAUACAACUAAACACAAAACUUCACUUCGUUGAAGAACAUGUGCAAAUUAUGGAUCGAGAAGUGAAGUGGUUAAAACAAAGUUGUAUUCCUAUCGUGAAAGUUCGUUGGAACUCUCAACGAGGACCAUAAUUCAUAUGGGGACAUGAUGAACAGUUUAAAAAGAAAUACCCCCAAUUAUUUAGUGAUAUCCCAUCUAAAAGUUUAAUUUUGCGAUGAAAUUUUUUUAACAGGGAGAGAAUGUAACAAUUGGCAAAAAUAGAAAUGAUCGUACGAUACUACAUUUUGACUUCUAAGCAAUAUGAACAUUUUAUCAAAAAUGGCUGAAGGAAUUUAACAUGUUUUAAUCAGAUAAGUUCUUGUGAAAAAUAAAACAAGUAACUAAUGAUAAAUUCCGUUACGACGUAUGACAACGAACCAUUACCGGUUUGUGAAAAUUAGCAUAUAACAUCAUUUCAACGCAAAAAACUUAAUUUUUUUAUCCACAUGUCUCUAAUUGAUGAGUAAGUUCAAUUCUAUAUAAAACGUGUGCUUAUUAGUUGUGAAGGAUCUAAAUUUAACAAAUAUACAAACCAAAGUGAUGAAACGUGUUUAACGAUAUUGUUUACCGGUAAAAUCUCACGAAAUUAUACCUUGAUCAAUAAAUUUUAUAUUUAACUAAAAAUAUAAAAUGAAUUAUUAUAAGGCAUAAUUAGAAUGUAUUUAAGUGUUUUUUAAUAAAAGAAUAAAACAUCAACAUUUAAGUUCAAAUACACCAAAAUUACAUUGUUAUUUUAUACUAAGAAUACAUCUAUGUAGUUGGACAUAUGUAUUUUUAUCUAGUGGAUGACUAGUUAUGGGUCAUGAAUUGAAGUGAUUUGAUGUAAUGGAUAUUGUGUCUUAAUCAAUUAAGAUAAGAGAAAUGGUUAAGAGAAGUGCCAAGUUAACUAAUAACUGCUUAAUCACUUAAGACAUUUUGCUAAGAAUACUUCUUAAUACUUCUAAUUUUCGAGAAUUCCACAUUCCCUCUCCAUAACUAGAACUCCUAACUACUAACUAACUAAUAACUUGUUAGUUAACUAAAUCCUAUCUCUAACAAACUAACUAGGAAAGUAUGUAGAAAAGAUCAAAUCUAAUCAUUCAUCACAUCCCAUCAAAUCUAGCCUAAUUGAUUCCAUCUUAUCUUCUUCUCUUCUUUCCCUACAAACCUAGANUAGAAACCUCUCUCUCUCUUUCUCUCUCUCUCUCUCUCUCUCUCUCUCUCUCUCUCUCCUUUAUUCUUUCAUUCUUCAGAAAAUAAUCUAGGGAAAUUCUCUCAAAGAUCAUCCCAUUUCAGCCAUACAAACUUGCUUCCAAAGUCAUCGAAACAAUGAACCUUAAGGGGCUGCUGUCCGUUUUCUUCUAUUUCAUCCCAUUUCAGCCACCGUUUCUUCUAUUUUAGUCCGUUUUCUAGAUAUUUUCAUCACCAAAUACCCCUGGAAGUUAUUUCUUAUGCCAAUCUAAACUAGGGACUCAAAAUAGUGACUAAAUUACUCUUUUUCUUACCUUCUUGCUGUGAAUUUUCGUGACAACAACAUAGCCAAAACAGCGACUGUUUUCGAGCAUCAAACUAACACCCAAAAGUUCUUCAUCUUACUAACUAUUUUCGUGAUUCAAAGUAGACCAUAUGUAGGUACUUUCAAACACUUAAAACCCCUGAGAAAGUUACCCUUCACCUCUCAAACAACUUGUGUUUUCCACCACCUUUUGGCAACAUACUUUAGAUCCAAGUGAAAGCAAGGUAUAUUCUUGAUUUCUACUCUUUCUUUUUAUCAUCAAGUCCAUGGGUUUUAAAUGAUUUAACACAUGAUAAAUGUCUAACAUACAAGUAAAUAGAUGUCUUUAUGUGUGUGACAACCCAAAAUUUCUAUCUUGUACAAACCCUACACCUCAAUCAAAGUCCAACUUGCUUCUGCUAACUUUUAGCACUGUAUAGAAUCUGAUGGAGCUUACCGAGCUUAGUACAUCCAGUGAUCAAAUACUAGAAUGGGUCAAAUAGAGUUACAAAGCACCAAACAUGCUUUAAAACCUAAAAUGAGGAGUUUACGGCCAUGAGAACAUCAGUUUAUGGCCGUAAACUCAUGGUGGCCAUAAGCUCCAUGCUUAUAUAUGAAAUACUUGGCCAUUUUCAUUUAUUAUCACACUUUCAAGUCUAGAACUCAGUUUUGCUCUCAAGUAUCAUCAAGAACUUUCAUUCCAAUCUUCAAUCUAGUAAGUAAUCUUUCAAUUUUCAACUUGAUAUCCUUCCAUAUCUAGUGAAUACACAUGAUUACAUCCAUGAAAUCUCUUCUUUUGGUUAGGUCUUCAAGUGUUCUUCAUUUCAACAAGAACAGCAAGAACAUACACUAGUGUUCUUGGAUUUUAAACACCCUUACAAGCAUCUAUAUUGUAAGUACUCUUACCUUACCUUGUUUUAAUUCUUGAGUCACUUAGUUUACCCCUUGAAAUCACCAAUAACUCUAGAACACAUGGCGUUUACGGCCAAGGAAAUCUCCUUGGGCCAUAAACACUCAUAAGUGGUGCAUUUGUGCCACAACUCCUUCAUAAGGCUUAGAACUUGGUCUAGAACACUUCAAACUUGAGCUACGGACUUUAAACAUCAAAAUGGUAGAAGUCACAAGGAGUUUACAGCCGUAAACUCACUAGGGCAGCAAACUCGAGGCCGUAAACUCAUGGAGAGUUUACUCUUGGACCGCAAACUCCCAAGCAAGACCCUACAACCCAUAGAUACAACCCUAUGAUCUUAUAACAAUUGAAUUAAAGUGUUUUCCAUGUUCUAGGGUGUCUUUAAAUGCAUAAUUUGUUUUAAAAUCACUAAUCAGAUACGUAUAUGUGUCUUUAUAUGUUAAAAAGGAUCAGUGUGUUUGUUCAAGACUUCACUUGACACCUAGCUCCUUAUCUAGCACUUUCAUCAAAACCACUCACUACAGGUCAGUUCACACCCCUUAAGUAACCUUUUAAAUGUUUUUAAAUGCUUUUAUGGGGGGAUAUAAGUUGAAUCACUCUAGUUAUAAUAUCAAUCAAAUGUGAAUUAUAACUAUCAAACAUGAGGAUUUACUAUACUUUUAACUGUUUUGUCAACAAAACUACUUCAAAAUGAUUAUCAAACUCUUUUACAUAUUAAACUCUUUAUGAAACUUGAUCUUAGUUACCAAAUCAUUACUUUCAAACCUUUUAACUUAUAUAUUGUCAAAAUCUUGUCCAACAUGUACAUAUUUAUAUAAGUAAUUUUGAAGGACUUAGGACUGAUAACUCACUUUAAUUGAUGUUCCUUGUUUGGUUGUUGACUUAGAGUACCCUGUUGUUUGUCCGAAUGUCAUUUAAUCCUUAGUUAUAUAUUAUGUAUAUAUGUAUAGAUGUAAAGCUUUUACCUUUGUUCUAACACCUUCGGGUAGCAAAGGUGUAUAAACUUACUAAGUCAUUUAGACAUCAUUUCUAGUAAACUAUAAUAGGUAUAAUGUAGUGGUAUACUGCUUACUAUUUCUAGUACAAUGAUACAUAUAAAGAGUCAGUUCAUGCUUAAGUCAAUACAUACUGUAACAAUUCAUAUACUACACCAUACCACAUAACAUACUAUAAUGAGAGUCAGGGAGAACAUACUACACACUAGACAAAGAGAACAUACACUAGUACACACUAUAUACUAUACAAAAGAACAUACUCUUAUGAGAAUCAGGGAGGACAUUUACUACACUAGUACCUGAAAUACAUACACACUAUAACGUAAAUGUGAGGCACUACUUCGGGGCAUGGCAUCUCUGUCAUGGCUCAUCUUGUAACCAGAGUCUUCUGAAGGGAGAGCGUGAAUUUGUGUAUAGAUCUAUACUGGACUGACCGUCCUACACCUUGCUGCUAGCAAUAGUGGGACCUGCAAGUCUUCGGGUGAUGAAUGUCAUACCAUCUCGAUGUCUUCGAGCGUCGUGUUUUACUAGGUCGAUUAAGUAUUGUUACAAUUAUAUCACAUUAUACCUUAAUUAACAAUUGGUUUAAGGUAAUUAGUAUAACAGUAGUCACCAUAAAAUAAAACUACAAUACUUCAUUAUUUUCCCCAUUACAUUUACUUUAUGAUCUUCACAUAAACAGUAAUGUACAAAUUAUAUUUUAUUAAUGAUAUUCACAUUAGGGAGGAAUACUCACUUUUACAAUGAACAAACAUACAACACAUUUGAUGCCUUGGUCGAAGGCGACUUUUAGUAGACAAUAUAGGAUUUUCUAUGGGAUACAAACAAUGAGUACAAACAUUUAGAAACUCAUACAUUCAACACUUACAAAUAUUUUCAUACAAACAAUGACACUAAAAUGCUUAUGAACUCACCAGCUUUAAAGCUGAUAAACUCUUUCAAAAUAACUUGUAUUCUUAGGUCAUCAAUAGACAGGUACCAAGGCCAGCUUUUGAGAUGAUGGAGCACAUUUCAAGACUCAUCUUUUAUUUUGAUUCAUAUUUUGGUGUCUUAUAAACUGUACCGAACACACUUGUAUUAAGAUUCAUUAUUAAUGCAAUGGAUGAUGUUGUUUUCUUGUUUACUAUUAUUAUGUGUUGUGAUAUUGUACAUGACAUCCUCCGCCCCAAAACUUUCCCGCCGUUCCAGUUUUGGGGUGUGACAAAUUGGUAUCAGAGCAUUGUUUAUAGUGAAUUGAGUAUAUCAACCCAUAAAAGAUAUACUAACUAUAAACACAACGGGAUUAAAAUACUCUGACCAAUAGUUUAAUACCUUUAAAUAAUAAAAUAUUUAACUAAGUAUACAUACCUGCAUUCAUACUAAAAUCAGUGUCACUAGUACAGAACAAAAGUAUUACGAUUGUUGAAUAUCACAAGUAGGCUUGGGUAUGGCAUAGCCUGAUCAACUAUACUAGUCCAAGAAGUGAUUAGCAUAUACCCAAGAAUGGUUGUGAUGUGGCAAAAAGUCUAAAAACUUACCAACAUUACUACAAUGAAAACGUUAGAACAAAACAUAAUUCUAAAGUACAUAUAACUGGUAUGCGCGAAGCAAGUAUUCAAGUAACUGAUAAAGAUCACCUUAUAAUUAUCUAAUUAGUAUGUCUAUUAACUAUUUCUUUAUCCCUUUUCUCGCGUAGAUAUCAUGGUUGGAUUCCAUCCUCUUGGUGACCCGUACUUCCCAAAACAAGGCAAUGUUGGAUGGCUUGAUUAUGAGCCGGAAGAUGACCAUCCAAUCCCUUUGGAUGAUCACCUCGCAGAAGGCUUUUCUGAUGGUUCCGACUUCGAGCCUGAAGUCAACAACCUACCCCAAGUGGGUUAAGUCCCAAAUCUCAACCCCCGACCAACAUUUUAAGGUCCCACACCCUUGUGGGAGACAAACUUGAAUCGCUGAAGUGAUGAGCAAGGUCAACCCUUACCCUACAAUGGGGACCGAAGCUUUUACAACUUAAGCAAGGGUGGCUCAGCUGACCGAGUCCUGCCCGUUAUAGUCCGUAGGAUUGCUCGGAAUGUUGAGCAAGGUCGGGAAGCCAUCGACCGAGUCAUGGAAAUUGAUGCCAAUUCAGGUGUUAACACGGUCCACAUUCUCCAUAUCGAAGCGGCUAUGGAAAGGACUAGGAGAUCCAAUGAGGCUUUGCAGCAGCAGCUAGCUGAAUCCCAAGCUGAAGUCAGGGAACUUAGAGCUCGUCAGGAAAUGUUUGAAAGGCGCAUGAGAGACAUGAAGCACCGUCUGUCAGAGUCAAGGACUCGUUGUAGUGGUUCUUGUCGUAGAUAGAGCCUACUCAACUUAGUUAUGUAAAAACUCUAGUUUAAUUUCCUAUCUUUGUAAAGACUUUGGAUCUGUUAAGUCUUGAUUAGGGUGUACAUCUGUCAAAAUUUUCCCAUCUUGGUUUGAUGUAAGACCUACUAUUAGGUCAUUUUCCUCGAACUUGUUACAUCAAUAAUACCAGUAAUAUUGAUAGAUAUAUAACUUGUUGGACUAUGGCAAUUUAGCCCAUGGAUCACUCUCACUAUGCUUAAAAUUGAUUCUUACUAUCAUGUUCAUCUUUAUAAACUUAUAGUUGAAAGGUGCCUCCUCGUAAGUCGACAAGGCGUAAUCCCUCGAUUCUUCCAACUCAAACACCACCACCUCUUCAACAAUUCGUUACGACAGCUCUAAAUGUUGUAGUGCCUGCGGCUGUGGCAACAACCAUCAUAUCACUCUACCGGUGCCAGCGGAGGUGGAACACCUGUUAAUUCUACUCAAGGUGAAAUCCUCGUGCGCUCGAGAGAGUGCUCCUACAAGUACUUCACCAAUUUCAAGACAAAUUCCUUUAAAGGGACUGGCGGAGUCAUUGCCCUCCCGUAAUGGUUUGAAAAGACGGAGUCGAUCUUUGAGAUAUGCUCCUGCCCAGCAUCGAGUAAGGUCAAGUCACUAACUCUGAUAGUGGCAAAUGAUAUGAGGUGGGAAACACUGAGAGACCUCAUGAUUGAGGAAUAUUGCCCGCGCGGCGAGUUCCAGAAAUUAGAACAAGCACUAUGGAACCUAACCAUGAAAGGCUUCGACAUAGUUUCCUAUACUGCCAGAUUCAGUGAGCUGGUGGCCCUUUGUCCCAACAUGGUUCCCACGGAGGGAAAGAAAAUAGAGAGGUACAUCUCGGGGUUGGUGCCUCUAUUUCAGGGAAAUGUCUUAUCUUCAAAUCCCUCUACCUUCGAUUGUGCCAAGCGAUUGGCACAACGGCUCAUUGACCAUGGGGUCCAGACCCCAUCAUCAACAACAACCCUAGCCAUCUCUGAACCUUCCAAAGCCGCUGAAAACAAGUGGACGUUCUAGGAUGACAAAAAGAAACAAAAAUCUGCCAAAAAGCAACAGGUUGUGGCGGUUCAUGCAGCGAUAGCACUUGUCGCUGCUGCUCCGAUAAUGCAGUACUUUGGAAGCUUGCCAAAGCGCAACAAAUGCAAUUCCACCACAAUGGACCGUAUCGGGAUUUGUAGUGCUCCAACUGCAACAAAAAGGGACACACUGUAUGCUUUCGCAGAUCCCCAACAAAGCCAAUAAACCAAGUGCAUGGCGCUGGUGUGGGCCAGGCUUGCUACGGUUGUGGCGAGGUAGGCCACUACAAGAAGAACUGCCUGAAAGCAGGGAAUGUUGGUGGAGUAGGCAGAGUUUUGGCCAUAGGCCACGAGGAAGCGAUUGCCGACCCCAUAGUGGUCACUAGUACGUUUCUCAUCGAUAACUCUUAUGCAUGCAUUCUGUUUGAUAGUGAAGUAGAGAGGAGUUUCCUUAACGAAACAUUUGCUCAAUUAAUUAAGCAAAAAACACAAACACUUAAAGAACCGUUCACUGUAGAAAUGGGUAACGGAAAGACUGAGAGCACUAGUAGUAUAUACAUAGGAUGUACUCUAAUGCUAGAUAGCCAUUCAUUUACAAUCGACCUCAUCCCGGUCUCAAUUAAAAGUUUCGGCAUCAUUAUCGACAUGGAUUGGUUGAGUCUGGAUCGUGUCAACAUCAUAUGUUAUGAGAAUGCUGUUUGCCUUAAUCUGCCAUCUGGCAAAACUCUAGUAGUCUAUGGCGACAAACCCGACACGAUCCUUAGUCUCAUAUUGAGUAUUCAAGCCCAGAAGUACUUACGUAAGGAAUAUCAUGCAUUAUUUGCACACGUUGUUGAUAUGAUCCAAAAAACCAAAGACCUGAAGAUCAUUCCCGUAGUACGGGACUUUCCCGACAUCUUUCCAGAAGAACUACCAGGAUUACCUCCGCAACGACAAGUCGAGUACAGAAUCGAUUUAGUUUCAAGAGCUACCCCAGUAGCCAAAUCGCCCUAUCGUCCAGCACCAGCUGAGAUGCAGGAACUAUCCGGACAACUUAACGAAUUGCUCAGCAAGGACUUUAUUAGACCAAGCUUCUCACCAUGGGGAGCACCAGUCUUGUCCGCCAAGAAGAAAGACGGAUCGUUUUGUAUGUGCAUCGACUAUAGUGAGCUCAAUAAACUAACGGUUAAAAAUUGUUACCCUCUGUCUCGCAUAGACGAUUUAUUUCACCAACUGCAAGGGGCAAAUUACUUUUCAUAAUUUUAUUUGAGGUCCGGCUAUCACCAGUUACGAGUGUUAGAGGAGGAUGUUCCGAAGACAGCCUUCCAAACUUGUUACGGACACUACGAGUUUGUAGUGAUGCCAUUCGGAUUGACAAAUGCGCCUGCAGUGUUUAUUGACUUAAUGAAUCGGGUAUGCCGUCCUUACUUGGAUCAGUUCGUCAUCGUCUUCAUCGAUGACAUACUUAUCUACUUUCGAAGUAUGGAGGAACAUAGUGAUCAUCUGCGACAAGUCCUAGGAACCCUACGAACAUAGAAGCUCUAAGCAAAGUUCUCUUAAUUCGAAUUUUGGAUCCGAAAGGUCGAAUUCUUAGGACACAUGGUUAGUGAAGAAGGAAUCCACGUGAACCCUUCCAAAAUUAAAGUCAUUGAGAACUGGUCAGCACCGAAGACGCCUAUAGAAAUUUGUCAAUUUCUAGGCCUCGCUGGCUACUACAGCAGAUUCAUACAGAACGUCUCGUGUAUAGCGAAACCUCUUACAACAUUAACCCAGAAGUGUGUGGCCUUUGCCUGGAAAGAGAAAUAAGAGAAGGCGUUCCAAACGCUGAAGCGAGCCUUGUGCACCGAACCGAUACUAUACCUCCCAAAAGGAAUAGAAGACUUCGUAGUCUAUUCAUCAAAUCAAUGGCUCGAUUAUGUUCUGAUGCAACGAGGUAAGGUCAUUGCCUAUGCCUCAAGACAGCUGAAGACACAUGAGGUCAACUACACCACACACGAUCUUGAGUUAGGAGCAGUCAUGUUUGCUCUGAAGAUCUGGAGACACUACAUGUAUGGUAUGAAAAGCACUAUCUUUAUAGACCACAAAAUCCUACAACACAUAUUCAACCAGAAGGAGCUCAAUAUGAGACACUGACGGUGGGUCGAGCUACUUAAUGACUACGAAUGCGACAUUUGUUAUCAUCUGGAUAAAGCCAAUCUAGUAGCAGACGCCUUAAGUCGGAGGAAUGGAUAAGAACUUGGAGGUCAAGGGUGGCAGAGCCUUAUACCUCAUGGACCAGAUCUGGACACCGAAACACGUUGGCUUCAGAGACUUGGUCAUGACCGAGGUGAACAAAACUAGAUAUCCUAUCCAUCCGGGUUCAGAUAAGAUUUAUCUGUAUCUUAAAAAGAUAUAUUGGUGGCCUAACAUGAAAGUAGAGAUUGCUACCUUUUUAAGUAAAUGCCUUACUUAUGCCAAGGUCAAGGUCGAAUACCAGAAACCCUCUGGUCUAUUACAACACUAGAGAUACCGGAGUAGAAGUGGGAGUGGAUCACAAUGUACUUCAUAACCAAGUUGCCCAAGACAUCGAGCGGACUUGAUACCAUUUGGGUUGUCGUCGAUUGAUUGACUAAGCCCGCGCACUUCCUGCCCAUGAAAGAAACUGACAAGAUGGAGAAGCUCACGAGAACAUACAUUAGGGAGAUCGUACUACUGUAUGGUGUUCUGAUAUCCACUAUCUCCGAUAGAGAUAGUAGAUUCACUUCGAGGUUCUGGCAGUCACUACAGAGUUCCCUAGGAACAAGGCUGGACAUUAGUACAACAUUCCAUUCACAGACCGACAGACAAAGUGAGAGGACUAUCCAAACCUUCUAAGAUAUGUUGAGAGCCUAUGUGAUCGACUUUGGGAAGGCAUGGGAUACUCACUUACCCCUUGUUGAAUUUUCCUACAACAAUAGUUAUCACACGAGCAUAAAGGAUACUCCCUUUGAAGCCCUCUAUGGCCAAAAGUGCAGAUCCCCUCUAUGCUGGGCUGAGGUGGGUGACACAAAGUUAGCUAAAGGAUGAGUUCCUAACAGCACCCUCACAGGUCCGGAGAUCAUUCGGAAAAUGACAAAGAAGAUUGUUCAGAUUCGUGAACGAUUGAAAGCCUCUAGAGACGGACAGAAAAGCUACGCAGACAAACGAAGAAAACCUUUGGAAUUUCAUGUGGGAGACUGCGUUCUUUUGAAAUUCUCACCCUAGAAGGGCUUGAUACGCUUCGGAAAGCGUGGAAAUCAAAAAUUCAAGAUACAUAGGGCCUUUCGAGAUUCUUUCCAGAAUCGGCCCUGUAGCUUACAAACUCAAUCUACCAUGUGAACUUAGUAACGUACAUUCUACUUUCCAUGUCUCGAACAUGAAAAAGGGCCUAUCUGAUAAGACUCUUGUAAUACCACUCGACGAGAUUGAGGUCAACGAGAGCCUCAACUUCGUGGAAGAACCUGUAGAGAUCAUGGACCGAGAGUUCAAGCAUACGAAGCACAUUCGUAUCCCGAUAGUGAAGGUUUGCUGGAACACCAAGCGAGGACCUGAAUUCACUUGGGAGCACGAGCAUCAAAUGGAAUUGAAAUAUCCUCAUCGUUUCGCAUAGUUAUUUGUAACUCCUAAAUUGCUUAAACUUUAAUUUCGGGAUGAAAUUCUCUCUAACGGGGGGAUGAUGUGACAACCAGAAAUUUCUAUCUUAUACAAACCCUACACCUCAAUCAUAGUCCAACUUGCUUUUGCUAACUUUCAACAUUAUAUAGAAUCUGCUGGAGCUUACCGAGCUUAGUUCAUCAGGGGAUUAAAUACUAGAAUGGGUCAAAUAGAGUUAUAAACCACCAAACAUGCUUUAAAUCCUCAAAUGAGGACUUUAUCGCCAUAGGACCAUGGGUUUACGGCCGGAAACUCAUAAUGGCCGUAAACUCCAUGGCUAUACAUGAAUUACUUGGUCAUUUUCAUUCAUUAUCACACUAUCAAGCCUAGAACUCGGUUUUGCUCUCAAGUAUCAUCAAGAACUUUCAUUCCAAUUAGUAAGUAAUCUUUCCAUUUUCAAUUUGACAUCCUUCCAUAUCUAGUGAAUACCCAUGAUUUUAUCCAUGAAAUCUCUUCUUUUGGUUAGAUCUUCAAGUGUUCUUUAUUUCACCAAGAACACCAAGAACACACACUAGUGUUCUUGGACUUUAAACACCCUUACAAGCUUCUAUAUUCUAAGUACUCUUACCUUACCUUGUUUUAAUGCUUGAGUCACUUAGUUUACCCCUUGAAAUCACCAAAAACUCUAGAACACAUGGUGUUUAUGGCCAAGGAAAUCUCCUUGGGCCGUAAACACUCAUAGGUGGUGCAUUUGUGCCACAACUCCUUCAUAAGGCUUAGAACUUGGUCUAGAACACUUCAAACUUGAGCUAUGGACCUUAAACAUCAAAAUGGUAGAAUUCACAAGGAGUUUACAGCUGUAAACUCACUAUGGCCGCAAACCCGAGGCCGUAAACUCAUGGAGAGUUUACUCUUGGAUCGCACACUCCCAAGCAACACCCUACAACCCUUAGAUGCAACCCUAUGAUCUUAUAACACUUGAAUCAAAAUGUUUUCCACGUUCUAGGGUGUCUUUACUUGCUUAAUUAGUGUUAAAAUUACUUAUUAGAUACAUAUAUGUUUCUUUAUAUGUUAAAUAGGAUCAGCGUGUGUGUUCAAGUCUUCACUUGACACUUAGCACCUUAUCCAACACUUUCAUCCUAACCACUCACCACAGGUGACUUCAUUCCCCUUAAUUAACCUUUUAAAUGUUUUUAAAUUCUUUUAUGGGGGGAUACAAGUUGAAUCACUACAGUUAUAAUAUCAAUCACAUGUGAUUUAUAAGUAUCAAACAUGUAGAUUUACUAUACUUUUAACUGUUUUGUCAAGAAAACUACUUCAAAAUGAUUAUCAAACUCUUUUACAUAUUAAACUCUUUAUGAAACUUGAUCUUAGUUACCAAAUCGUUACUUUCAAACCUUUUAACUUAUAUAUUUUCAAAAUCUUGUCCAACACGUAUAUAGUUAUUUAAGUAAGGUUUGAAGGACUUAGGACUGAUAACUCACUUUAAUUCAUGUUCCUUGUUUGGUUGUGGAUUUAGAUUACCCUAUUGUUUGUCCGAGUGUUGUUUAAUCCUUAGUUAUAUAUUAUGUAUAUAUGUGUAAAUGUAAAGCUUUUACCUUAGUUCCAACACCUUCGGGUAGCAAAGGUGUAUAAACUUACUAAGUCAUUUAGACAACAUUUCUAGUAAACUAUAAUAGAUAUAGUUUAGUGGUAUACUGCUUACUAUUUCUAAUACAAUGAUACAUAAAAAGAGUCAGUUCAAACAUAAGUCAAUACAUACUGUAACAAUACAUACACUACACCAUACCACAGAGUAUACUAUAUUGAGAGUCAGGGAGAACAUACUACACACUAGAUAGAGAGGACAUAUACUAGUACACACUAUUGAUACACACUAUAUACUGUACAAAAGAAUAUACUAUGAUGAGAAUCAGAGAGGACAUUCACUACACUAGUACAUGCAAUGCAUACACAAUAUAACAUAAAUGUGAGGCACUACUUCAGGGCAUGGCAUCUCUGUCAUGGCUCGUCUUGUAACCAGAGUCUUCUGAAGUGAGAGUGUGAAUUCGUGUAUAGAUCUAUAAUGGACUGACCAUCCUACACCUUGUUGCUAGCUACAGUGGGACUGCAGGUCUUCGGGUGAUGAGUGCCAUACCAUCUCGACGUCUUCGAGCGUCAUGUUGUACUAGGUCGAUGAUAUGGUUACAAUUAUAUCACAUUAUACCUUGAUUAACAAUUGGUUUAAGGUAAUUAGUACAGCAGUAGUCACUAUAACAUAAAACUACAAUACUUCAUUAUUUUCCCCAUUACAUUUACUUUGUGAUAUUCACAUAAACAGUAAUGUACAAACUAUAUUUCAUUAAUGAUAGUCACAUUCGGGAGGAAUACUCACUUUUACAAUGAACAAACAUACAUGACAUUUGAUGCCUUGGUAGAAGGCUACUUUUAGUAGAAAAUAUAGGAUUUUCUAGGGGAUACAAACAAUUAUUACAAACAUUUACAAACUCAUACAUUCAACACUGACAAACAUUUUCAUACAAACAGUGACACUAAAAUGUUUAUGAAGUCACCAGCUUUAAAGUUGAUAAACUCUUUCAAAAUAACUUGUAUUAUCAGCUCAUCAGUAGACAGGUAUGGAGGCCAACUUUUGAGAUGAUGGAGCACAUUUCAAGACUCAUCUUUUAUUUUAAUUCAUAUUUUGGUGUCUUAUAUACUAUACCGAACACACUUGUAUGAAAAUACAUUAUUAAUGCAAUGUACGACGUUCUUUUCUUGUUUACUAUUAUUCUGUGUUAUGAUAUUGUACAUGACGUCCUCCGCCCCAGAACGUUUCCGUCGUUCUGGUUUUGGGGUGUGACAAUGUGUUAAGACAUCUAAAAGAAUACUCAUAUCGCUAGCUUGAAUGGAAUCGGAAAAUGCACAACAAAAGUGAGUUUUCUACAACCCCUAUUUUAUGUUUUACUAGUUUUGGGGGAUAAUACACACUAAAAAAAUCCUAUUGGGAUGAUUUAAAGGCUUUUCUAAGUAAAUUUGCAAGUUAUGUCACUAAACAUAUCUAUAUUUUAAUUUCAACUUUUUACAAACAAGUUGUGGUCUGUUCACAGGCUAUUUUACCCUUCUUAAACUUAAUGGAUUUCAAAACUGUAAAUAUAUGAAAAUAGUUCAGGUCUAUACCUUUUCAAGAACUAAUCACACGUGUUCACACAAUUUUUCUACAAUUUAUGAUGACUCUUACAAAACUGCCUAUCAUUUCAGAACAUUUUCGGACCAGUCUGUAAAAAUGUACAUUUUCACUCUAGUUAUCAACUAGUUAAGAUCAGGCUAAAAAUCAUGAACAAAAGUAGACUCAUUUUCUAAGCUCUAAGAGUUUACGGAUUCCAAUUUCGACUUACGAUGUUUUUUCUAUAAUUUUUCUAAAAUCAAGGACAAAAUUUCCCUUUUGAUUAAUCUUGUUGUUUGGUCUUUCAAAUAUAUACAUAAAGCUUUGUUGUAAAUGUGAAGUACAACAAUAAUGUUAUUAUUUAAUUCACACACACUUUUAUGAUCACAAAAGUUUUAAUUAUAACAAGAAUCUAAUAUGAUCAUGUUGAAAAACCUUAUAACAUAGGAUGAUUUGAAAUAUGUUGGUUUUGGUCACUCACAGCCGGGAUGUUGUACAAACUUUGUUGGUCACUUAAAGUCAGAGUAUUGUCUAAACAAUUGUUAUGGUCACUUAAAGUUCGAGUACUUUCUAAACAUUUGUUAUGGUCACUUACAGUCGGAGUACUGUCUAAACAUGGAUAUGGUUACUUACAGCCGACAUGUUACUUAAACUCGUGUAAAGGCACUUACAGCCGACGUGCUGUUUAAACUUGUAUAGGGACUCAUACAACCAUUGUCCUAUUAAAGCUUUGGUAGCUUUACAAUAUUAAGCGUUACAACUAUAAAAUUUUCCAACAGAAACAAUUGGGAAUUAUAACAGAAUCUCGGAUACAAAAAUACUAAUAGAAACUAGGAUGAGGUUGUAUGUAGUAUAAAUAUUGUUUGUAGAUUGUUAAACUGAUUAGUAGUGUCUAUUUAUACAAACACUAAAUAUUUUGCUUCACAAAAAUAUGUUAAAAAAUACUUUUAUCAUUAAAUUUUUUAACAUGGAUACUCGUAUCGGAUUUCAAGUAUCGGGUCUCACACGAAGCAUAUCGGUAACUUUGUUAACUAUAUUGUGCACAACUUAUUUUUUAAACAUUCCACGUUUUAUAUAGAUUUGUUUUUAUAAAUAUCAUAAAAAUCAAAACCUGUGGAACUCACCAACAAUUUUUGUUGACGUAUUUUAAAAUUGUGUAUUCUCAGGUAGCUAAGAAGUUAGAGGUAGGACAUUGGUUCUAAGGAAGGUAUAGUUCCUUUCUUUUGAGAAUAAACUUGACUUGUUUACCGUUGUGUGUUUAAGUUAUGAAGAUGUAAUUUCAAUUCCAAAAAUUAAAUCUUUGUAAAAUAUUGAUUCAAAUAUAUUAAGUAUUCGAUAUAUGUGGUUAACUGUAAUCCAACUGUAUAAAGUUGCAACCCCUAUUAUUUCCUCCAUCGGACGAGGUGUGACAACAAGCUCCUUGCUUAUUAUUUUGAUGUUCUUUUAGACCUUUUUAAGUGCUAAAGCUCUUUCCUUUAUCUCUUAUGCAUGUAAGAUCUUUGAUUAUGCUUUUCUUUUCUUGGUUAGGUUGGAUAGCAUGCAUGGGAUCGAUAAAUUUAGUCACUUAAUGGAUAAUUGAGGCCUUUUCUUUAUUAUAAGUUUAUGCUAUGAGGUAUAGUGUUGGUUUUAGACACCAAGCAUGAGUCUUGGCCUCAUUUCUCCUCAAUUACCUAAGUUAGUGUUCAACUCAUGCAUCACUAAAAACCUACGAUUUUAUGGUCCUUAGGGUUGGGGAAAACCCUUUGGAAAAUCUCAAGGAGUAGCUUAAUUGUUUAAGAGAUUAAUGCUCUAAGGUGUCCAAAAUGCAACUCACGACGUGAGGAAUGGCAUGUUACACUGUCAGAAGAGGGUGUUCGUGAUUAUUUUGUCCUGGUUCAGUCACAACAUGAUCUAUGAGUGGUCACGAUGUGACCGUUGGCUGUAGUUUACCAUGGUUAACGUUUCGACCAUGAUUGACUUUUUGGAUCAAGCUAGGGUUCUAAGGAUGUAGGUUGAAAGGGUAUGUAUUUACUUCUCUUAGGUGUCUUGUUGCUCCUGUCUACUUUAUAUGUGAGAGCUCUUGUAGUUAUAGUUGUUAUUCGCGAGGUAAGUCUUCUCACUAUAUUACCUGUGUAGUAGUGUAUGCAUGCUGACCAACUAGGUCUUACUUGUUGAUUUAUGUGAUUUGUAAAAUUGUGUUGCUGAUGUCUCCUGGACAGUUACAAGUCCAUAGGACUAUUGAUAGUCCCCAGGUUGCUGAAAAGCCCUGAAAUGUGUUGUUAGUCCACAUGGUUGCUGAUAACUCAUAGUUUUUUCUUUUGCUGACAUGUAUGUAAUAUUUUAGGAACUUACUAAACUUUAUGCUUACAGUUUGUAAAGCCCCGUUUAUUUAUUAAAUUAAUAAAUAAAAUAAUGAGCGAAUAGUAGCCCUAAAAUAAAUAAUUAUAUAUGUAGGGUGUUGGGUUCGGGGAGUUAAUUGCCACAAUUUUAGAAGUCGAGGGUUAAAAGCGCAUGAUUUGGAUUGGUUUUGUAAAUAAUUAUGAAGGCAAGGACUAUUGAGUAAUUAUUGGGACUUAAUAUGAAGAGAUGUUGGGAGCUAAGGGCUAAAAGGUAACAUUUGGGUUUAAAUCGAAAAGAUCUGGUGGGGAGGGGCUGAUAUUGUUAAAAUGGGCAGAAGUUUGGUGGAACACGGGUAUACCUCAUGCAGCCUCCAUAUAUAUACUUGGUUCAUAAGGAACCCUAACCCUAGUACAAGAGCACAGCCGCCACUUCCCCUUUCCAUUAUUUCCAGCGCCGCCAGCACCAAUGGAACCCUCUCCGGCCAUUGAUUCCUCCACCGAAUCCGACCACCAAGCCGUCGCUGUGCUUUUCCGCUGAUGACGUGAACCACCGUGACCCUCCAUCCACUGCACUGGCGAGGCGACCGCCACCUGGUCGCUGCUACUUCGCCGUCAUGGAGCCUCCUAGCGUCGUUGCCUUCCUCACCCGUAGCUGCUAUUUCGCUUCACGUUUCCUUCUUCCUCAGUUCGUCGAAGCACCGCCUCCGCAGUCGCCUCUUGUCUCCGCCGAUCUCAGUGUUCGUUGACGACAAGCUGUCGCCGUAAGUGCCGCCGUCGCCGCCACUUGACACGUUUCCGUUGCUCUGGUCACCAUUUGCCAUCUCGAAAUGUUGUUGUGUUCGUGUGUGUGGACUGUCGGUCGAGUAGGGUUGUGAAGAACCGGUGGCUACUACCGUCCACAUGUUGAUUAACUUUGGCUGCCAUCCCAAGUCCGUUGUUGUCACUGCCAUAAGUGUGAUCGGGUGUAUGGUCAUUUUCUGUUGGCCGAAGUUGUCAAGAAAUCACCAUGGCCGCCAGCCAUGGUGGCUGCUNACCCUAGUACAAGAGCACAGCCGCCACUUCCCCUUUCCAUUAUUUCCAGCGCCGCCAGCACCAAUGGAACCCUCUCCAGCCAUUGAUUCCUCCACCGAAUCCGACCACCAAGCCGUCGCUGUGCUUUUCCGCUGAUGACGUGAACCACCGUGACCCUCCAUCCACUGCACUGGCGAGGCGACCGCCACCUGGUCGCUGCUACUUCGCCGUCAUGGAGCCUCCUAGCGUCGUUGCCUUCCUCACCCGUAGCUGCUAUUUCGCUUCACGUUUCCUUCUUCCUCAGUUCGUCGAAGCGCCACCUCCACAGUCGCCUCUUGUCUCCGCCGAUCUCAGUGUUCGUUGACGACAAGCUGUCGCCGUAAGUGCCNNNNNNNNNNNNNNNNNNNNNNNNNNNNNNNNNNNNNNNNNNNNNNNNNNNNNNNNNNNNNNNNNNNNNNNNNNNNNNNNNNNNNNNNNNNNNNNNNNNNNNNNNNNNNNNNNNNNNNNNNNNNNNNNNNNNNNNNNNNNNNNNNNNNNNNNNNNNNNNNNNNNNNNNNNNNNNNNNNNNNNNNNNNNNNNNNNNNNNNNNNNNNNNNNNNNNNNNNNNNNNNNNNNNNNNNNNNNNNNNNNNNNNNNNNNNNNNNNNNNNNNNNNNNNNNNNNNNNNNNNNNNNNNNNNNNNNNNNNNNNNNNNNNNNNNNNNNNNNNNNNNNNNNNNNNNNNNNNNNNNNNNNNNNNNNNNNNNNNNNNNNNNNNNNNNNNNNNNNNNNNNNNNNNNNNNNNNNNNNNNNNNNNNNNNNNNNNNNNNNNNNNNNNNNNNNNNNNNNNNNNNNNNNNNNNNNNNNNNNNNNNNNNNNNNNNNNNNNNNNNNNNNNNNNNNNNNNNNNNNNNNNNNNNNNNNNNNNNNNNNNNNNNNNNNNNNNNNNNNNNNNNNNNNNNNNNNNNNNNNNNNNNNNNNNNNNNNNNNNNNNNNNNNNNNNNNNNNNNNNNNNNNNNNNNNNNNNNNNNNNNNNNNNNNNNNNNNNNNNNNNNNNNNNNNNNNNNNNNNNNNNNNNNNNNNNNNNNNNNNNNNNNNNNNNNNNNNNNNNNNNNNNNNNNNNNNNNNNNNNNNNNNNNNNNNNNNNNNNNNNNNNNNNNNNNNNNNNNNNNNNNNNNNNNNNNNNNNNNNNNNNNNNNNNNNNNNNNNNNNNNNNNNNNNNNNNNNNNNNNNNNNNNNNNNNNNNNNNNNNNNNNNNNNNNNNNNNNNNNNNNNNNNNNNNNNNNNNNNNNNNNNNNNNNNNNNNNNNNNNNNNNNNNNNNNNNNNNNNNNNNNNNNNNNNNNNNNNNNNNNNNNNNNNNNNNNNNNNNNNNNNNNNNNNNNNNNNNNNNNNNNNNNNNNNNNNNNNNNNNNNNNNNNNNNNNNNNNNNNNNNNNNNNNNNNNNNNNNNNNNNNNNNNNNNNNNNNNNNNNNNNNNNNNNNNNNNNNNCUUAAUGGAUUAAGUGCUUAAUGGGUUAAGUAGGAAACUUAACCCUAAUCAUCAUUUUAUGUGAAACCCUAAUUUCAUUUGGGUUUAUGGUUGGGCCUUUCUGUUGGGCCUUAAUGAUUGGGAUAUCAAAUGGGCUAUCCAAGAUCAAGCAAAUGGUCUAGAGCAAUUUAAUGGGCCUAGGGUAAGGCCCAAGUAAGGGGCUUGGGCCCAAUUUAGAAAAAUGGGCCAUAGUUUGGGCCUUAAUGAGUAUAUGAUGUUGGGCCUCAGAAUGAGACCAUGUAUAGGCCUAGGCCCAAUUUGGAAAAUUGGGCCAUGUGUUUGGCUUUGAUUCCUAAUUGACUUUGGGCCUACGGAUUGGGCCUUGGGCUUGAAUAAGCCAAGCGAGGGGUAAUGUAGUAAUUACCCAAAGAAUGUAUGUAUGGUUAUGUAUUGGGACCCAAUUAUUAAUUGGGUGUUAUUUUGGUGUUGACAGUUCGGGAAUCUGUCAGCCAGCAGCUGGGGUCGAGUCUGCGGGACUUCGGCAAGUGUGGGAUUGUGUCUUCGGGACUUCAGCAGUGUGAGGUGAGUUACCUUCCAGUAGCGGUGGGUCUACGGCCACAAUGCCGGCCCACCAGUAGGAGUUGUUGUUAGAUGAUUGUCUUUGUGAUAAUUGUCUAUGUUUGCUACUACAUGUUAUGUUUAUGUGCUAGCAUGAUAUGAUGUUAUGUGAUAGUGGUAGUAGGGGGUGAAAUAGUCCCCGGUUACCGGUCGAUAGGGCCGAAGGGGUAGAUUAGUACCCAACUAUGCUAGACAGAUUAUGAUAUAUGUGAUAUGAUAUUAUGUGGUAGUAGUAGGGGUGAAAUAGUCCCCACUUACCGGUCGACAGGACCGAAGGGGUAGGCCAGCACCCAGAUAUGCUAGGCAGUAUAUGACUUAUGUGUUUAUGUUAUGCCUUUAUGUGGUAGUGUUAGGGGGUGAAAUAGUCCCCGGUUACCGGUUGAAAGAUACCGAAGGGGAGGCCAGCACCCAGAUAUGCUAAGCAGUAUCCGGUCGAGAGGACCGAAGGGGAGCCCAGCACCCAGGUAUGCUAGGCAGUAUCCGGUCGAGAGGACCGAAGGGGAGGCUAGCACCCAGAUAUGCUAGACAGUAUCCGGUCGAGAGGACCGAAGGGGUAGGUCGGGCACCCAGAUAUGCCUGACAGUAUAUGUAUGUUAUAUGAUUGUGUGGUAUGUGGUAUGAUGGGGGAACUCACUAAGCUUCGUGCUUACGGUUUUCAGUUUGGGUUUCAGGUAGUUCGUUUUCAAAAGGAAGGAGCCGGCUUGAUCGCAGCGCAUCACAUUAUGGUCUUCCGCACAUGAGAUCUUUGGGAUUACACUCUGAUAUUGUUUUAUGAUAACAUGUUUGAUUAUUUCUACUUUAGUUUUGACAUGACAUAAUAUUAUAGAUGUUUUAUUUCACUGUUGGUUUUAAAAUAAAGUAAUUAAAAAUGAAAUUUUUGGCCUAUAUUUUUGGGAUGUUACAACAGUUGUUGAUUGAAUAUGUUUCAGGUACUUUAGAUGAUAGCGAAAAGACAAAGGCUUAAUUAUACACUCCGACUUGCAGAUUUUAUGAUUUUCUGCAUUUUGAUACUUUGAUUUGGCAUGACUGUAUUUGAUGCACCUAGGAUUUUUACGACUUGCGUUUUGUAGUAUUUGAUUUUUUUCCCUAUUUAAAUGAAAAAAGUUAUGAUAAAAACCAGUAUGUUACCAUUUGGUAUUAGGGCCAUGGUUUGGUGGAUUUGGAUGAACAUUCACGGGAUUCCAUACUCAAAUUAAGGAUUUGAGAGUUUUAUAAAAACUUACCAAAUAAUGAAGCUUAAGAAAAUAAUAGAGGAAGCAAUGUGUACAGUCAGCUGGAGAUCGCAGAAGUGAUUUCUUAAAGUAUUCAUAUUUGUAUUGUAUGCCGUAUUGGAAUUGAUCUUAUUUGAGUAGAAAGAAAUGCAUGCUAGUUGUUAGGAGAAGGAUCUUUUAAGACUUGCACAAUAGGGUUUCAUGAUUUUGUGAUGCCUUAUAGCCUAGGAGAUUGGUGUGAAUGUUUUGCUAGGGUUGAACCUAUGAUUUCUAAUUACUUCUUGUAUGCCGCAUGAUUCUACGUAAUUAGGAUUUUAUAGCCUUAGAAUGCUUGGUUUAGCCUUACUUCUUGUUCCUUGUUUGGUUUUGGAUUUGCGGUUGAAUAUCUUAUUUAAAUGUCUAUGGAGUCUGAGUUGUAUACAAUUGGUUAACGCGGAGCCAUUGGUGAGGUUAUUAGAGAGUUCUCAUAGGAUAUAGUUGUAGUUCAGACUAGACCUAGGAUGUGUAUCUAGAGCAUCAGAUUUGAAUCCUUGAGCACCUAGGUAUAUGUGUGUUGCUUCUUUGAGGGCAGAGUGUUUCUUGGAUCGAGACCUUGAGAAGGGAUCUAAAUCAACUACAAAUAUGUGUGUAAGGUAGUAUGGGCAUGUACUAAUGAAAGCACAAGAUCAAUAUGUGAUUUAAAAGGAAUCUUAGGGCACCUAGUAGUUGGUAGAAUUAUGUGUCCGCAUAUGCUUAUAGACUGGUUUUGACUUUUUUCCUUAUGUAUUUUAGUAUGGUGUUCACUCGAGGUUCAAGCUCUAGCAGUCCGGAGAGGUAGUGUACCAUUGAUGAAGAGAUCUGUUGAAUCAUUGCUAUUGUGGUGGCCGCAGUGGUCAGGGAGGCUAUCCAAGAGGUAUUUGAGUAUAUCUUGUUAAAUCAUCUCUUAGAUCCAAUUAGUUUAGGGUUUUUGGUAUACUUUGGUCCCUUGGGUUGAUUCAUGUGAGUAUAAGUUACUAUAGAAUUUUAGAAUAGUAGAUCUUGAUGUUUUUAAGGUCCUUGUUCAUAAAAAUGGCAUAUUGAUGGAUUUAGCUCAGCCAUGCAAGAGUUAGUGGUCAUAUUAUCAAGUUAGAGCGUUAGAAAUUGGUGUUGGACCUUGUUGGGCCAUAAAAAAGAAUUAAGUUGAUGACUUUAUCAUUUAAUAGAUUCCCCUUAAGUAAGAUUUGUGAUUUGGACGUUUGGACUUAUGCUAUUAAGUGUUUAACAAGAGUUUUGGCCAUCAGGGGAGUACGUUGGCCGUACAUACGCGUACGAUCAACAUAAUGCAUUCAACCCCUAUUUUUCCCUCGAUGUGUAAGCUUGUACACUAGGCAUAAUAAGGUGGUACACUUAGCAUACUCACGAGAUGUCGUAUGGGCCAUUUCUUGGGCCUUAGGUUUUUUAGGCAUAGGCCAUGACUUAUUGGGCUUAAGGUAGGAAGGGUAAAAGGGUAUUUUACCCUUUGUGAGAUGGUUUGUGAUUGGAAUUUUGGUUGUGGUCAUUACCCUGAUUAUUUACUAGAGUUAGUUUGGAUGUGUUUACUUUAGGAGCCAUCGUAGCAGUAGCCUGUGUGUGCGAUUGUUCAUCAUUUGAUUGAGGUGAGUCUUCUCACAGUGUUUUAACGGGUUGAAUACACCAAUGUCGGCCAAUUGAUUAUUUUUAUUAGAAUACUUGUUGUCCGUGUAACUCUUGCAUGUAUUGUGUGUGUAUACCUGGCAGGGCCUGAUGUGAGGCGAGGUCUGAUGAGUGUGUUGGGUGAGGCCCAUCGCAUGUGACACACAUAUUUGUACUGGGCUAGGCCUAAUGUUGGGUGAGGCCCGAUGGAUAUCGGGCAAGGCCCAUUGUAUGUAUGGUAUGUGGUAUUUUGAGGAAAAAUCACUAAGCUUUAUGAUUACACUUUAUGUUUCAUUUUAGGUACUUCUAGUUCGAAAGGGAAUAGCUCGUCUUGAUUGCAACGCAUCCACCCAUGUUUAUGCACUAUUAUGAUUUUGGGAUUAUACUAUGAUUACUAUUCCAUGUUUCUGCACUAGGCUGGGCCUAGUGUUGGGUGAGGCCUGAUGGCUGUCGGGCAAGGCCCAUUGUAUGUAUGGUAUGUGGUAUUUUGAGGAAAACUCACUAAGCUUUAUGAUUACAGUUUAUGUAUUAUUUCAGGUACUUCUAGUUCGAAAGGGAAUAGCUCGUCUUGAUCGUAACGUAUCCACCCAUGUUUUUGCGCUUUUAUGAUUUUGGAAUUAUAGUAUGAUAACUAUUUUUAUUUUGACAUACUUCUGGAUGGUUUGAUAGGAAUAUUUGAUUGUUUUUGGUUGAAUUAAAAAUGAAAUUUUUACUUAUGGUUUUUGGAAAGUUUCAAUCAUACCUCAAUAGAUAUGAGAAUUUGGAUAUUAGGCUAUCCAAGAUCGCUAGUGUUUAUGACCUUCGCACAUGCGGUUAUUUUCAUAUAGUCUUCAAGAUAAAACCUGAAAGAACCUUCCGAUUCUUAAAAUUUCUUGCCAUGAUGUUGGGUGGAGUAAUUUUUUUUUUGUUGUCAACAAACAAUCUAUUGAGAAUGGAGAUGUUAUGCCUAGUGGUUGCGUUUCUAAGGGUAGGAUUCUUACUUCUAAAGUUUGCAAUUUUUUUAUUUUUUAAAAAACUAAUCAUAAUUUAUUUAUUCAUUUUGAAGUGUUCCUAAGUUUGAAGAGUUGUUCCCACCUAAAGAAGACACUAAGGAGAAAGUUAGGAGUUUUUAAAUUUUUUUGUGGAAAAUAUGGACUUUAAGGUUGUCUUGGAUUGUUCUUCGGACGAAGAUCUUAGCACUUCCAUGGUUGUUAGAGAUCAUGAGCCAAUAAACAUGUCUAUGGAUAAGUUGAACUAACUUGUCUUCCUCUUGCUAUUCUUUAAGGUAUUUCUCAAGUAUGAUCUUAUUUUCUAAGUUCUAGGUUUACUCGAUCAUUUACUCGAUCAUGUUCUACAUUUUCUUCUUUUAUUGUAAAGGACUUUCGUUCAACUUAUGUGCCUAUGAAAUUUGAAAAGAUACAUGUUCCAAGACUAGGAAGGCGAAGAGUAAGCAUACAAGUUCCAAUCACAAGAAGAGGAAAGUAGAUAAAGGAUAUUAACUACGAACACCUUCAGCGGUGACUCGCAUGUAUUAGUAGUGACAUCUAAAUUAAUCGGGGGGAAUGUUCGUGUCGUUUUUUAGGGUAUUUGCAACGACAUCCAUCGCCACUAUUGCCUUUCUGCGAUACUCAAUUGAUUUCCAACCAUUGGAUCGACGAUAUUAGUCAAUAAUGACUAGGGUUCGUCUAGAAACGCUAACACGGAUCGUGGUUACCAAAAAUUAUGGACGACGCUUGUAGCGGCAACGCAAACACAUCGACAACACUCAAAUAUGUCUUCGCUAUUGUCUGCAUCGGAGUGAAAGGUAUCACUGCUCAUCAUUGUAUUUCUUGUAGUGUAGGAAUAUAAAAUCAUUAGCUUUUCCUAAUUGUUUAUGCAAAAUAUGAAGUGACAAGAGUCAUGUCGUGAAUAACUUCAUUUUAAUUAAACAUAACGAUUACUUAUCCUAAAAAAUAAUUUAACAAUGCAAAAUAAAUGGAAAAAUCCAAAAAUUCUUUUUUUUAUAUAUUAUUUUCAGAACUUGAAUUAACUAAAAAAAAUAAAAUAAAAUAAAUAAAUAAAUGUGUCUCACGGUCUCACAAAAUUAGACCGUCUUACAUNNNNNNNNNNNNNNNNNNNNNNNNNNNNNNNNNNNNNNNNNNNNNNNNNNNNNNNNNNNNNNNNNNNNNNNNNNNNNNNNNNNNNNNNNNNNNNNNNNNNNNNNNNNNNNNNNNNNNNNNNNNNNNNNNNNNNNNNNNNNUUCAAUAGAGAACCAUAAUUAACUAAGAAACCAAAAAAUUAAUCUUUCUUUUUCAACUUUUAUAACUUAUUUUUUAUCGAAAAAAAAAAACUAAAAAUACAUAAAUUGAUAACUUUUUAUCCUUUUUCCACUUAUAUAAAAUUUGAUUUUUUUUACGUCAAAUUCACAAUGUGAAUCUUUCAAAAUUCACAACGUGAAUCUGGAUUCACACGGUGAAUCCGAAAAAUAUUUUUCAAAUUGACAAUGUUAAUAUAUGAAUUUAGAUAUUUUUAGAUUUUUUUUUCGAUAAAGAAUAAACUCUAUAACUUGAAAAAAAAGAUUUGGUUCCUUGAAAAACNNNNNNNNNNNNNNNNNNNNNNNNNNNNNNNNNNNNNNNNNNNNNNNNNNNNNNNNNNNNNNNNNNNNNNNNNNNNNNNNNNNNNNNNNNNNNNNNNNNNNNNNNNNACCCUAAAUCUAUAUAUGUUAUUUGAAGUUAUAUAAAAAUAUAGAACUAAUUUUGAAAAUUUAAAAGGAUUUAACAAAACCCUUAAAACAACAAAAUUGACAAUUUAGGCAACCCAAAUAAAGAGAAAGAUUGCAAAAUAUUUUUCUUAUGCAAGUGUUUUAUAAAGGGUCCGUGCUACAAAACCACAAAUAUUCCUUUUGUGAACUUUUUUGUGUAAGGUCAUCAUUUUUGGAAACUGAUAUAUCAUUUAUAAUGUAAAAGUGAACUAUCAAAAAUAAUAAUAAUAAUAAUUAUAGUGUAAAAGUGAAAUAUCAAAAGACUGAACAAACUUUAAUGAUAAUGAUAAUAAUAAUAAUUAUUAUUAUAAUUAUAAUAACUAUAUAUGUGAGAAACAUCAAAACACUAAAAAUAGUAAUCUUUUAUACUCAUAUACACGAUGAAAUCAAAUAACAAGAAAGGAAAGAUGGUGAUUAACUGAUUAUUGUUAAGUAAUUGUGAGAUACUAAUACCAACAAUUCGCUUGACCUAAAUGUUAACACCAAUUAUAUCAUUAAUAAUAAGUAAUUGUGAGAUAAUUCAAUAUUUAUGUGUGUGUGAGAGUUCAUUAUAGAUUUUCAAGAUUGUUAUUUAUUAAUAAAUAAUAAGUUAUUUCGUUUUGAGCUUUUAGAACCUAUCGCAAGGCUUGAUCACCCAUAAAUAUGCACACAACUAGUAUUUUAAAAUGAGUUUUAUUAAAACUUCAUAAAUUUCAACUUCGAUGCCAUUUAAAUAUAAAAUAAUAACGCUGAUCAUCCAUCUAGUGAUCCCUUCGAUCAUGGCCUCCCCCACCACCAUUUAAUGAUUACACACCCAUUCCAAAACUAGAACAUCGCUUAACAAUGACACAAUUUUGUAUAUGAUUUAUUCAAUCGUCAAGAAGAAUAUACAAAUACCCGGUAUCGAACUCUACCAAAAAGAGCAGCCCAAUAUUGAUUAUAUGGUGAAUUGAAUCCCCUGCACCAAAAUGAUCGACAUGAAUAAUUCUAAUAUGUAACCCAAAAAAGAGAUAUAAUUAAGAUCAAUGUAAAAUGAGAUGCAUCAUGUAUUAAUGAAUGUUAUCUAUUACAAAAAAUUUCUUUGUACAGAGGACCACAUUACUCCCUAUGGCAAUUGUUUUAACCAGCAAUUUUAUAGGAGAAAUUAAUAAUAAGGACAUUUGUCGCUGAAAUUAUUCGUACCUAAAAUUUUAAUUUGUAACAACUUUUUAUGGUAAAAAGACUACGUCGCUGCGGGUGUUGUCAAUGUAGAUUAUAGUGUGUCGUAGAUUGCAGCCGCUUUUCCUUCUUAUCAUUACAUACACUCAAAGUAACCAAGUAACCACCAUCGUAAUACACUUAGAUUUUUACUAGUAACAAGUAAGAAGAUUAUACAAACGAUAAAUCCAAGGGAAUGAUAUUUUUAAAUAUUGUUAAGACGUCGCAGUCUUGUUAAUAAGCUGCUGUUAUAUAAUAGGAAAGCAUGUGAUUUGGUACGACAGUGUUGUGUGGUCUUAAAUAAAAGGAACAUGAAAAUUAAUACUGGGGUUUGACAAUCCCUUAUUUAUUUAAUUAUUUGUUUCAAAGUCCGAUUUUCCAUGUCUUUAAAUUGUCAGGUGUACUUUGUUAUAUUUUUUUUCAAAUAUAAUUUAUGGAUAAGCUUAUAUAAGCAAAUAAUCAAUUCAUGUUGGUAGUAACAAAAGUUUGAAUCGUAUCCCCCUUCUUAAAUGGUAUUGCGAAUGAAAUUAGGCUACAGACUCGAAUAUAUUGAUUUUCAAAACAGGCUAUGAAUUAAACAGUAGUCAAACAAAAUAUUCUCGUUAUUUAUAUUCAAACCAAAAGAUUACAUGCAUAUUUGUCAAAACCUCAUCUAGAACUAAAUCACAUAAGAACAUGAGAGAGAGAGAGAGAGAGAGAGAGAGAGAGAGAGAGAGANGAGAGAGAGAGAGAGAGAGAGAGAGAGAGAGAGAGAGAGAGAGAGAGAGAGAGAGAGAGAGGGGAUUCUCAUUUGUAUAUAUGAUUUACUAAACCGGUAUGUUAUACCAGAAUAAAAUACAAAAAAAUUAAAUAUAAAGGUUUAAACAAAAAAUUAUUUAAAUUUUAAAUUUUAAAUUUGAAAUUUAAAAUUUAAAAUUUAGAUUUAAAAUGAGACAUAUUAAAUAAUAUAUGAAUAAUAUUGUAAUUUAUUUGUUAUUUUCAAUUAGGACAAUUAUUAAUUGAGGUAUAAAUAUAAUGUGUUAAUUAAAAAAAGAUAAAAAAAAAUGAGAAAAUUACAAAUUGAAAAAAAAAAACAUUUAUUCAAAAAUACCAAAAAAUGACAUGUAUCCAAGUUAAUGAGAGAGUGACAUGUGGCAAAAUUAUUUUUAUUUAUUAGGAAUGAUUCAUUAUAUCUGUUGUAACCUCCGUAGAAAAUAACAUCACUACAAGGAAAAAGGUUAUUACCGGCAACAAAAGUCGCCGGUAAAAGUCCCAAAAGUCGCCGGUAAUACUAAUAGCGGCGACGNACUGCCUCGUCGCUAUUGAUCAUUUUGUCGCCGCUAAUGAUAAUAGUCGCCGCUAUUAGUAUGUCGCCGCUAAUGAUUAUUGUCGCCGCUAAUAAGCUAGUCACCGGUAAUGACAUCUGUCGCCGGUAAAAGCAUCGCCGGAGAAGAGAAACAGGCGAAGGGAGUGAAAUAGAAAGAGCAAAAGGAAAAAGAUCGAGUUUUUGGGGUUAACUGUGUCGGCCUUUAGCGGCGACACCUUUACCGGUGACAAAUUGAGCUUUAGCGGNUUUACCGGCGACAAAUUGAGCUUUAGCGGCGACACCUAUCAAUAGCGGCGACUAUCAGGAGGGAAUUAUUACCGCGUCAUUUUUUUAUCUUUAGCGGCGACUAUUUUGGAUCAUUACGGGCGACAAAAGCCGCCGGUAUUUCAUUUAUGCGUUCCUCGAGCACCCUAGCCGUUGGAUUAGAAAAACGAUCGGACGGUUCGUGUUUGCCAAAACGUCAAAGAGUGGAUCGGUGUCAUUCAGCCUUUAGCGGCGACACAGGCCUUUAGGAGCGACUUUUUUAAUUUGUGGCCGCUAAAGCUUCCUGUCCCCGCUAUUAGUGUCGCCGCUAAAGGCUCUAUUACUUGUAGUGCAUGAACUCAAGAAUAUAAUUAUAUGGCGACAUUGCCAAUUANNNNNNNNNNNNNNNNNNNNNNNNNNNNNNNNNNNNNNNNNNNNNNNNNNNNNNNNNNNNNNNNNNNNNNNNNNNNNNNNNNNNNNNNNNNNNNNNNNNNNNNNNNNNNNNNNNNNNNNNNNNNNNNNNNNNNNNNNNNNNNNNNNNNNNNNNNNNNNNNNNNNNNNNNNNNNNNNNNNNNNNNNNNNNNNNNNNNNNNNNNNNNNNNNNNNNNNNNNNNNNNNNNNNNNNNNNNNNNNNNNNNNNNNNNNAUAUAUAUAUGACCUGUUAAUGUACGUAAGCCAAAAAAAACGAGUUAAAUGGUAAUAUAUUUCUUAUACACAUUUAUUUUUUAGUAUUUUUUUUACAUAGUUAGUGCUUAAUAAAUUUUUUGUUACAAAAUAAGUCUUUGUUGUUUUUUUAGACAUUCAGUACUUAUGAUCGAUUUUUGUAGGUUUUUCUCAACACAUCUUAUGCGGGACAAUCUUUAAUAAGGAGUUCAAGAUUGUUCAUGUUUAUGGUCACCGCGACCUUAGUUGCUUAGUUGCUUAGUUCUUGUGGUUUGGCUUAGGGCUUGUGUUAUGGACGUCGUAAGUUCUUCAUACGAUCACAAAUUUUAAAGAUCUUUAUAUUUACACGUUUGUACUUGAGUCUACUACAUUUUCCGUUUAAAUUACUCCCAUUAAAGACAAUAUAUUUUAAUUAUGAUUUUAUAAAAGGAAAACGUUUAUACAUGCAUUCAUAAAGAAUAAAUUGAUAUAAAUAUCUCAUGUAAAAACAUCUUACUUUUCAACGGGAGUUAUCGAAAACAAUUAUAGUAAACUCAAAUUCAAACGUUUGAGUAUAAAUAUCAUUAAAAACUAUGAUCGUAUGAAGAAGUUACGACAUUCAAAACACAUGACCUGAGACAAACCACAAUAUAACACCGUAAAUUUCGAACGAAAAUUUUCAAUUUAAAAACACAUUUAUCACAAUUAUAAAGUCACAAAAUGUCACAAUUUCAAAUCAUUAAAUCUCAUAUCCAAAAACUAUAUAUAUCAAAACUCUAGGAUCCUCUUAAUUUAACUCUGUCUCCGAUGUGUGUAAAAUCAAGUCGGUUCCUUCCCGCGAUCCUGAGAAAACUAGAAACAGAUAACACAUAACACUGUAAACACGAAGCUUAGUGAGUUCCCCAAAAUACCACACACAACAUAUUAGCCACUCAAGGCUAUAACUUUGUAAGACCCUCUGGUCAAUGUGUCUCAGUGGGACCGUCCAGUCCCACCACUCUGAUGGACCCUCCGGUGCUAACUCUAUGAACCUUUCGGUCCUAACUCUGUGGACCUUCUAGUCCUAAAUCUGUAAACUCUGAAUAAUACAUAACAUAAAUCACAUGGAAAAAAAUGCAGUAUAUCACAGUACACAAAUAACAUAUAAGAUACUCUGUCACACAACUCUGAUUACCACUCUAGGUAUGUAUAGUGAGAAGACUCACCUCAAAGCUAGUAGGAGUAAAUACGCACUUAGCAUUCUCGAAUUAUCCUCUGCCUAAAUACAUUAGACAAGCAUCUAAUCAAUAUAUCUCUUUUACUCAUUAAACUCCUAAGUUCUCUUAUUCCAUUUUUAACCCCCGGGAUGGGUAAAAGACCCUCAUCCCUCCAAGGUUCCAGAAGCUCCUAAUUGACUCACUCAUAUUCAACAUAAGUCCCAUCGAGUCAAUAGUCCAAAUCGACCAGACUCGUUGAGUGCACUCGUGAGACUCGUCGCGUCUCAUCGUAUCUCAGAGAUCCUCAUAAAGUCUAACACGACGAGCAAACCUUAACUCGCCGGGUCAUCGCUUGACUCAGCUAAAUCGGGACAAACCCUAAACUACUUGUCGAGUUGACCAUAAACUCGGUGAGUCUAUUCAGACUCCCAUGCAUUCAGAAGAUUACAAGGCGGGAUUUUUUUCCCAAUCUUCAGACCUACACUAUUAGGGCACACAAGUCUUGUAAGUCAUAGACUUUACGUCCAUACAUGACAUCUAGAGCAAGAAAUGCCAAAAACAUGAACAAAAUGGGUUAUACAUACUUAAACCUUCACCAAAGCUAGAUAAAGCAAGGACCUCAAGGCGUUUGGGACCUCCUAUGGUCCAGAUCUGGGGUUUUAACUUCCUCAUGAACCCCAAUUCACAAAAUCCCUAAAAAUGAUGAUGAAGAAGAACCCUAAUCUACUAAAAUGAGAGAUCCACAUCAAUGAAAGGGAAAAGUCGAGUCCAAUACCUCCAACUGAAGCUUCAGCAUGAAAACCUGCAUAUCCAACACCCUUCUUUGAUCCUCUAGCUUGAACCCUCUUCUUCCUUGCAAAAACACCCACCAAAAGCUCAUAAUAGCUCUCUCUCUCUCUCUCUCUCUCACACACACACACACACACUCUAAGCACUCAAGACUCAUUUAGGGUUUUCUCUUCUGAAGGGUAGCCGCAAUAGGAGGCCUUAAGUGCCUUUAAAUAGGCCUCAAGCCUAGAAAAUUGGGGUUUCCUUUAGCAGUGCUAACUUGGUGAGUCAGCUAAUGGACUCGUCGAGUCCACUCAUUAAUCCACAUCACCAGCCACGACUCUACUCGACGAGUUAAGGCACCAACUCGUCGACUCAUCCAUGCAACCCAUAAAGAAAUGUUAUACCUCGGAACCAGGAUGUUACAAUUCUCCCCCACUUAAUUUGAUUUCGCCCACAAAAUCGCUCUUUAGCAUCACACAGAUAAAAACCCAAUGGCCCGGGAAGCACCCUCAAAAGGAUUUCAUACCAUGUAACUAUCUUCCUCCAUGGACACCUGAAUCCAAACUCCAAGAAAAGGACAGACCCAUCUGCUGCAAUGAUACCCCUUCUGGCUCUCCAGAAUCUAGAAACUCUAAUGGCCUGACUCACUGCCAGACCGCCCUCUCAAGAUAUUGUUGGAUUAGUGUCUAAGUUCAUAACUAUUUUGGUAUGUACUUGACCCAAUGGUGCAUGGUCCUUUUGUGUUGCUUCCACCAAAGCAACUUGAUAGGAUGAAUUAUGGAGAGAGAGUUAAUUAUGAUUUAUUAAUAUAUUAAAGGAGAAGUCAUAUUGUUUAAUUAAUAUUACUCAAGAAUUAAUAAGAAUUAAGUUUGUGGCUAAAAGACAUUAAUUAAACAUAAAGGGACUAGAACUGUCAAUUGUGUGAUAGUUGAAUAUUGGGCUAAUGGACUCUAUACUGGAGGGGUGGAUGAAUUCUAUGGGGAAACCCUUUAGAAAUCGUCCUAGGCCUCUAAGGAAGGAGUCCAUGGGUUGCUUAGGGCCUAAGCAGUCUAAUUAAGGUUUCCUUGUUUGAUAACCCUAAUAGCCUCACUAUUUAAAGGACCCUUGAGACUCAAAAACGUGGUGAACUUGUUCCUUAUGGUUUCCAGCCGUUUUUGGGUGUCUCCUCUCUCCUUAUUCUUCAUCCUCUUGCUCUUGGUGUUUGUGAACCAUUAGAGGAGUGACACUUGUGACUCUAAGCUUUCUAAAGUCAUUACAAGGAGGAUUUGAGAUUGUUAUUGCUAUAUAACAAUCAAGGUAAGAUCUAAAAACCAUUCAUAAGACAAUUUGAUUAAUUGUAUGCUAGAUCUAGGGUUUGAAGUCUUGGAUGAAUUGCAUGUACAAUAGAGAAACCUAGAUCCAAGCAUUAGGGUUUGCAUAAGCACAUAGGAUGUUCUUAUGACCAAAACCCAUCAGUGGUAUCAGAGACUUGAUUGGUUUCUAUUGUAUUGAUGCCUUGUAUGUUUGUUCAACUCGCAAAAUCGUUUUUUGGCCCAUCUGCCUGAUGAACUCGGCGAGUACCACAGUGUACUCAGCAAGUAGGCCUCAACUUGGCGAGUCUAGUGUGGUACUCGGCGAGUUCGAGCGACAGAUGGAGCAAUUUUCGGGAUUUCUUGCUGUUUUUCUCAUGGAUACUUGCCUUAUCUUUUUUAGGUCAUUAAAAUCCGAUUUUAUACAUAUUUAUGAGUAUAUCCUUGAUUAAACAAAAGAUAAUUACCAAUUGAUUAGAUAAUAACUUCCUUAUAUGAUUAAAGUUGAUUAUUUGUAUUUAUUGGGUAACUUAUUUUGCAAGAAAUUGAAAUUAGGUCAAAUAUAGAUAAUGAUAAAAUUAAUUGUUUAAUUUAUAUUAUUUGUUAUUUGAUCCUUAUGUUAUGAAAAGUUUCAUUUUUCCCCUUUAGGUUUUAUAGUUUAAAUUUAAACUCAAAAGUUUUUUGUUUUGAAAUUUAAAUAGUUGAAACCCUAAUGUUUUGAAAAGGUUUCAAAACUUGCCCUCAAGUUUUGGAAUUUAAAUUUUGAUUAAAAGUUUAAUUUUGAUGUAUAUUUAAAUUCUAAACCCUAAUGUUUUGAAAUGUUUCAAAACUUGCCCUCAAGUUUUGGAAUUUAAAAGUUGAUUAAAGGUUUAAUUUAGGAAUGUUAAAUUCUAAAACCCUAGUAUUGUUUUGAAAAGUUCAAAUCACCCCUCAUGGUUUUAUUAACUAAUUAAGGUGUAUAAUUAAAAGAGAUUGAAUAAAUCCAUAAAAGUUUUGGUUUACAAUUUAAUUCAAUUAAAGGUAUAAUUGUUAAAUUUGACCACCUAGUAUUUUUAAAAGUGUAAAAUACACCCUAUACUAUAUAUAACAUUAAAAGUCUAACAUUAUAUAUAUGUAUGAGUAAAAGUCAGUCUUACCGUUAGUAGGCCUCAUUCACGAAGCUGGUCUAUAAGGGGUGUUUAAGGAAAUUGCCUAUAAAAUGGCGAUUGAAUGGGUAUCCACUCUUACCCACCGCACUCUUGACUAGUGGAGGGUCGUUAGCCGAACGGGUAGGAUGGGACAGAAACCUUCCAUUAUAAGUAUUAUAAAGUACAAAAGUAACUAAAUGUUUUAGAAAUUCCCAAUCUUAGUUACUUUAGGCAAAAGAGAAUUGAUGCAAUUCCAUGAAAUUACACUCUGUACCCUUGCGAAAACGUUAGUGGAGCGUGUGUGGUUUACCAGCACACUAAAUGGUUCUAAGCAAAGGUAGCAAAGGGUGACUCAAUGUUUGUCAUAGUUCGGUGGAGCGUGUGUGGUUUACCGGCACAUCGAAUAGGUGACUGUAACAUGUGAGGGCACCAUGUAAGUUUGCAUGGUUAUUCACACCCGCUUUGUGAUCCUCGGCAUCCCAGUCACAAACUAGAGGGGCAUAUCGAGAUUUAAACAUGCCAU
Molecule: long non-coding RNA, 44992 nt
Filed under: Lactuca sativa (garden lettuce)
Lineage: Eukaryota; Viridiplantae; Streptophyta; Magnoliopsida; Asterales; Asteraceae
Description: long non-coding RNA (LSAT_LNC002540)
Source: RNAcentral